RNAcentral lists this long non-coding RNA (49345 nucleotides) under Sorghum bicolor (sorghum). RNAcentral's name for it is "long non-coding RNA (SBIC_LNC006653)". Lineage: Eukaryota; Viridiplantae; Streptophyta; Magnoliopsida; Poales; Poaceae. The record is from RNAcentral.
AACCGCUAAGAGAGGAAAGCUUCCACAAGGUGAUAUUGUACCAUCACUCUUCAAGUAAGGUAAUAUCUUAAGGUACUUGACUAUCACUUCUAUAAGCUUCUCCUUGGUUCUGGCGUUCACAUGAAUAAAAGAGACAAACAUGUAUGAUUUACAACUCUAGAUUAACCAACCCAAUUGAUUCAAUAUGUUUAGUCCUUCCACCUUUGUGAUCCCAUACUCCUAAUCAUAUGACCUAAAAUGUUGCACACUCAAUCUUUGGAAGAUAUAUUUUAUAAAAAAACAACAUAAAUAUAGAUAGAUUAUCUUUCCAUUAGGUUGAGCGAUCGGAUCUGACAAAUGUUUUAAAUGCUACACUCAUGAUUUUAUUAUCCAUCAACUUUGUCAUGCUCACUAUACUUAAGGUUAGAGAAGAACAAAUACACUUUUGGUUCUGUUGGUGUUUUCCACCAACAGGGCCCAUGCACUUGAUCUCUGCCUUGUCUCUAUAAGCAGGUACACUUCGAACAAAAUAUGAAGGAGUGUUACAACUCCCAGACUCCACCAAGUGAAGAACCUAGAUCUACGAGCACAAACACACUGGAGAUACUAGACAGUCAGGCAAUCACUGCCCUGAGAUGCUUAAGGACGUAACUUCUAGAGUAACACUAUUGUGGAAGUAAUUACUGACCUUCUGCCGGUCAAGAGAGGCAAUCCAGGACGCCCCGUCAUCCUGAUCUCCAUCGGCAUGGUGGACUUCCCAGAAGCACUCUGUGACUUUGGCUCCAGCGUCAACAUUAUGCACAGGGUACUCUAUGAAAAAUUCUUUACACAUCCUUUAUUAGAAACAUCCAUGUGUUUGCAGCUUGCAGAUUGGACACUAAGUUUCCCAAAGGGAAUAUUGAAGAUCCUCUACGUCCGAGUUGGUACCUUAUAUGCUCCAGCAGACUUCGUGGUGAUAGAGACUGGUACUGAUGAGAGGGCACUCAUCAUCUUAGGGAGGCCAUUCCUGAACACCUCGGGAGCUAUCAUCUACAUUAGUGCUGCCAAGAUCAGUUUCUACAUCAAGGGGAGGAAGGAGACGUUUUCCUUCAAGAACAAGACUACACAAAUCUCAGAGCAAUCCCGACAUGAACCAAGGAAGAGGACCAACAGGAGGGACAGGAACAAGCAAAUGUGGACCAAGUCAGCUAAGAUGGUCACUGCAGUUCAAGGAGGUCAAGAUCGUCAACUCAAGUCGCCUUUCUUGAUCAAGAAGGAUGACCCUGGUGUUCCAGGCAUCGAGUGCACAAUCAACGGAUAUUCUUUUCAGAAGACACUCUACGACACCGGAUCUAACGUCAACAUAAUGGCCUCAGUCACUUAUCAGAUCCUGCAUGGAACCAUGCCCCUAAAACCGACAUACAUUCAGCUCCAGAUGAUUUUAAGGUUAUUGACAUGGGAGAAGACGAAUUCGAUCCACCCGUCAUAAUUGGAAGACCGUUCCUCGGCACCGUUAAAGCAAUCAUCUACAUUGGAAUCGGAGAAGUCCACAUGAACUUCCCCUCUGAGAAGGUACGCCUCUAUUUUACUGACCCUAACUAUAUAGUUGAAGACUCUAAGCAGGUCAGGACAAGAAGAACACAACGCAACCGCAACCAGAGGAGGCAAAUUAUCAAGGACGGAUGGACAGACUACGAAGGAGAAGUAGUGAGGUCUGAAGACAUACAGCUUGAACAGAACUGUCCUGAGGAGACCGUAGCACCGAGUCAGGUGUGGAGAGAGAAGAUAGUUAUACACGAAGAGCAGGCUCUGCCGGAACCACCGACUAUGCCAUCCAGCGAAUCCCAGGACGAUUGAGAAAACAGAGAGUCCCGUUCGGAGGACUUAAAAACACCGAACGCCUUGCCAAGAGGUAAACUUGGUAGUUAUCCUUCUCCUUUCAAUUAUUUAAUAGUUUGCUUAGUUAAUCAGGUUCAUAUCAUCUUAAAAAGAAAAAGAAAAAAAUGUUAAAAAUAGUAAGCCCCAUGUGAGUAUGCUCAUGGCAUAAAACCCAUAAGUACAUUCACUGUGGUGGCGUGAAAAUGAAAUAAAUAUAUUCCUAUCCUAUAAAAAUAAAAUUAUAAAAAUAAAUUUAUGAUCCUACUACAGAGAGUAAUAUUUAUUGAGGAGGCUCAACAUGAUAAAGGCUAGAUAUUUAUGCUAACACUUAACUAGUUCCACAAAGCUUUGUUGUCUAUUUGAGCUUCACAGAAUUCAAGGAUCAAAGAAGACUAGCAGACGGAGGACAUCCUAAUCACUGUCAGGAUGCUGCCGACAUUCAAAUACAACUCCGCCACCUGCUAGCUACAUCAGAAGAAAUUACGUCAAAAUCCAGCUUGGGGGAGAGCACCCCCAUUUAUCCAGCUAAGUAUUCUACUCACGUUUAUACUUUACUCUAAUAAUAAAAAGAUGCAUAAUCAUAAAAAACCCAAAUAAAGAUUUUGUGCUCAUAUAUAUAUAUAUAUAUCUUUGCUUAGUUUGCUAAAUAAAUAAAUAAAUAAAGUUUGCUAUGAACCCUCAUGAUAAGCUCUCACAUGGAAAUGAUGAAUAGUUGCUCUACCAUGACUAAAUCUCAAAAUUGAAAUCUCUCUCAAGUUUAGGCAUGACUGUUAUUAAUUAAGCUUUGCUCUAAACCUGAACUUGUGCGAAGAGUACUUGAUCUAAAGUCUAAGUAGUUAACGGAUAUGAUAUUGGAAGGUUGAGCUGCUGUUUAUCUGUUCCUAGAGAUGCUAGAAUUCUGGAGAAUUUUAUCUUUGAAAAUCUUUAAAAUGUUGCAUGAUGAGUUCUUGUAUGAUGAGUGUUUAAAUUCCUACCACAGCCAUAUAUACAUGCUUGCUAGACUAUGAACCACACAUUUACUUUACUACUUAUGAGCAUUGAGUGUGGUCAAGCUGUGUAGACCCUUAGGAGCUUGUCAUGUGGUUAAAAUCAAGAUUCACUUGCACGUUCACUCAUACAUGCUGCUUCUACUCUGGAAGUACGCACCCACAUAUAUCCACCCAUUUCCAUCUCUAGAACCACCCAAAAAUAUUCUACUCCUAAUCUGGGAGAGAAUAGCCAAAAAUAUUCCUGUUUUUCCCUGUGAAAUAAAUGCUCAAGUUAUCUUGGUUACUACCACUUGCUAUAUUAUCUCAUGAGAUGAGUGCUCUAAAGAAAAAAAAAGAGAAAAAAAAAGAAGAAGAAUACGAGGAAAUAAAAAGGGGCAAGUGCCCGGAACCUCGAAAGAAAAAAAGAAAAAGUGAGACGAGAGGUAAAAAUGGACAAGUGUCCAACAGUAGAAUUAGGGGUACAAGAUACCCACCUGAGAGAAAAGAAAAAUAAAAUAUAGAGCAUCUCAUUCUCCUCAAAAAAGUUUCAAAAGAGCAAGAAAGGUAUGUAUCCCCUCAAAAGAGCACAAGUAGAAUUAGACAUUCACCAUUGUUAUCACCAUCAUCACCAUACAUCAUUCAUUCGCCACACAUGCACAUCUUGAUUUGACUUAUUGACUUGUUCUUCUGGAUCCAUGGUUUCACUAUGCAAUAAAUGUCUUGUAAGUAUGUAUUAGCUGUCUCCCACCUAUGAGCUCCAGAUAUCAAAAGCCUUAUUAGAGUAGGGUGAGAGAGAAGGCAAUACCACUAUGCCUCAUACCAAAAAUACCACAUAUUUUGAGAGAAGGCAUAUACCAAUACUGCCUUGGUAAGGAUCUAGAAAUACCACAGAAGAGAGACUAGAGAGAGUCAUACAAGGAAUCUCUGAGUUUUAUUUAAAAAUCUGCAAAAACUCCAGAGCUAUAGUUAAUCAAAGAACAAGAGACAUGGCGCUUGACUAGACCGUUCUAUCUUUUAACUGGUCAAGACACAAGUGAUGGUUGCAAGCCCCAUGGUGAAAGGUAAUAUGAGUAAGUUUAAAUCUGAAUAGUUUAACCUAACCCAGAGAUGAGAUCUUGUUUAAAACGCAUGUGUACCUUUAAGGCAUGAAACCACUGCAGAAACUCUUAAGUUCAUCUUUGCUCAGGGACGAGCAAAGGUUAAGCUUGGGGGAGCUUAGUGAAAUCGGUAAUUUAAUACCUCUCUCCAAUUUCUCAGACAUUGAAUUUACCAAAUUUACCUUAAUAAGUAUUAUAUUGUGCAGAGGCAUAUGAAGAUGUUCAAGAAAGUGAAACCAGCAAUCCAACACCGCCAACAGAGUGGCCAAGUCAUGCACGACGUUUAAAACAUAUGGGUGAUAAUCAAGGUAAGACAAUGUUUUUGUACACCCUAUCUUCGAACUUAAGUUUUUUCACUAAGUUUACUUUAACAUAUUUUCCAAUUCACUGUAUGUUGCACAAGUAGGAAGUGGAAAGAGGAAGUACAGAGCACGUGGGACUUUGAAAGGUUAUGCUGCAUCCAACAAGAGGCAUAGGCAAGGAAAAAACAAGAAAAUGAAAAUCAAAUUCUCAGAAAGACUAGGAGGACCUGUAGGUGGUAACCAACGGUCUUUUGUUGACGAAAUCGUUGUGUUCACAAGAUUGCAUGCUCCACUCAUUGGUAUCAAAAAAUGGAAGGAAAUUGAUGAUGCAGUUAAAGACGAGAUAGCCAGUGAUGUAUUGGUAAUAAGCUUUAACAUUUUUCUUCCAUACCCAUCUUACUUGAUCUUACAUAUGAAUCUGUAUAUGAAUUGAUUCUUUGUGUGUAACUGUCUUUUAAACAGAACCAUUGGGACAUUGAGAGGAAUGAUGAAAACAAGAAACUUAUCUGGACCAUAGCUAACGAACGCUAUAAAGGUUGGCGGUCAACAUUCAGUGCUACAUAUAGGGCAUACGACUGUUAUGAUAUCAGAAUGAGGCGUAAGCCAGAAGACCUCCACAUUGUUGAAUGGCACUAUCUCAUAGUGUAUUUUGGCACUUCAGAAUUCUAGGUUUGAUGCAUUUCACAUCAUUGUUUGCAACAACAGUUGUACAAAUAAAUUAGUUGUUUUGAGGAAUUGUUGACGGUCCUUAAUGCUUACAUUUAACCAUCAACUAAUCAUAGAAAUGGAUCCAAAUGCAACCAACACCUAGACUUAGGGUUUUAUCUGACAGAAUUCCACGAGUUUUGGUGUUUGUGUAUUUCUGCAGGGGGGUAUUAGGAAUUAUGGAAGAAAGGCCCACACGAAGGGUUUACAUAGAGAUAUUAACGUGCCGCGCAAUUUUCUACCAUCUAGAAGACUCCAGAAGCCACGGGAACGAAUGGGAGGCCGAUCGGGCCCGGGGGCAGGGCGCCCGCCCAAGUCCCUUGGGUGCCCGCCCAGCUACAGUAACCAAUCAGCUUCAACUUCGCGGAUCGUGCUCCACCGACCUAAGGGACCAAGGAAAAUCAUGCGAUUAAUGUCGGUUUGAUCCGACGGCCUAGAUUCAUCUGAAAAGACUAUAUAAGCAAGGCUCCCUGGCCCCUGGAGAGCAUACCUCUUCUACAAAAUCAAAGUUAGGGUUUGAAUUCUUCAUCCAAGUAGAGAGGAUCCCUCUAGUUCUUCUAGUUCUACCUCUAGUUCAUCUAGAUCUAGUUCUAGUUCAUCUAGUUCUAGUUCUAGUUCCUCUAGUUCUAGUUCUAGUUAGUUCUAGUUCUAAUCUAGAAAAUAGGGAGAGAGAAGAGGAGAGCGAAGGAGGAGGAGCCGGAUCUGUCGGAUCUUCCUCAACAUUAUACUUUUGCAGCAACUGGUUCGUUCUUCAUCAUUCUCCAGGUUCUUCAACUCAUAAUUCCUGAGUUCUUUAAUUACUUUUAUUUGCAUUCAAGUUAUUUAUUGGAUUCCCGCUUGCAUCAAGUGCUCUAGUCUUUAUAACGCUAGAGUAGUAAUUAAUAGAUUAGACGUGGUGUUUAGUCUUGCGAUUACCUGGAAUUGCACCCAAUCCUGCGGAUUGUUGUGGUAGCCUUAGGGUAGUGACAGCCCUAACGGUCAACGUAUUCCACCUCGUUCGGAUCGGUGUUUGUAGGACCGUAGUCAGACCUUCCUAGCCCCCUUCUCAUCUCUUUUUGUGGUUAGUGCUCUGAUGUCCCGAAAUAGAUAAUCUUGAAGUAAUUCUUGAUUCUUAGAUCAACUAGAGAACUCUCAGGAAACUUCCUCUGUUCCCACCAAAAACAAUUAUAUAGUUAUCCUUGGGUGAUUUUGGAUCUUAAUUAGUACACUCACAUUCUCUGUGGAAAAUCGAUACUCUGGAAUACUCCCGGGUGAAAGCUACAUCGGUAUCCGUGCACUUGCGGAUUUUUCUGUUUGCGUUUAAAAUACCCAACAGGAAUAUAUUUUUUAAAACAAAACUAGUAUGCAGAAAAUCAGCAGAAUGAAUUCUGAAAACCGUGCAAUGCAACAAACACAACAUAUGAUGGGAUCAAAGCCUUUCUCUCAUAUUAGCUAUGAAAUGGUAAGUACUUUAGAGAAGUACAUGCAUGCAUGAAUUGUUUUGAUUUAGUACUUGUUGAAAUGUUCAUUUGUUUCUUUCUGGGCAAAAUUAGAGGGACCCAGACACUCUUGAAGAGCCAAAUGAUUGUGAUCUAUGGGCGAAAACACACAGUAAGGGAGAGAAAUGGUCAAAUGAUGCAUCUAAAGCUGUCUAUGUAAGUAUAAUAAUCUACUUUAAUUGACAGAAACCUUGUUAAUUAAUUGUAUCAUGGUCAUCCUCCUAAAUUUCUAACCAGAUUAAGCACUUUCAAAUGUCUUACAUCUGUUAGGAAAUUGCUUGCACCGAAAUUAGAAACAAGGAAAGAGACUCAACAGAGAACUUUGUUCCUUCAACAGAGAGAAACCAUAUUUUCCAGAAAGUAUACCAGGAAACUACUAGAUGCCAGUCGUCCAAGGUUCAUGGUAAUGGGUAUAUGGCAAGGUAUCCAAGUAGAAGGAAAUUAAUGCUAGAGCAAUCUGAGGAACACGCCCGUUCUGAAACAGCAGCACACAAAGAAAAAGAAGAGCUGAAGGCUCAACUAGAGAAGGUCCAAGAACAACUUCAGAGCCAAGUUGCUCAAAUGGAAGCUGAGAAGGAAGAACACAAGCGUUGUUGGAACAACAAAAGCAAGAGAUGGAAGCACUACAGAAAGCUAGGGAGGCUGACAAAGAACAGCUUAGGAAAGAGUUUCAAGCACUGAUACAAGCACAAAUGCAUGGAGCAUCGACACAGGCUAUAGUAAGGCUCGGUGUUUUUACUUGCAUGUUUAUGUAGUCAGUAUGUUCCUGCUAUUAUCAUACAUUUUUUGUCGUCUAAUCAUCUCCCUUACAUGACCCUAGCAUAUGCCUGCACAAGAUGAAUAAAGAAGGCACCAGAAAUUUAAAAAGCAGUAACCAUGAGAUUUUAUUGCAGGUUAACCAAAAUACAAAUGAAAUAGCAGCUGUUGGAACAGAAGUGGAUGAGACACACUUACAUCCACAGGUAAUUAAUGAUUAAAAAAUGUUACAUUGUUCAUGAACUAGUGCAUGUUAUGGGUCGUAUGUUUAAUACUUGGCAUGUAUUUAUUUGGUUUUGCAGAAUAACCAGGUUGUUAACCAAAAUGAACUAUAUGCUGCUACGAUAGUUGCAGCGGCCAGUGUGCGCAGCACCAGGAGUUUGAAUAGAAGUCAAUCACAGAAUAAAGACGGGAACGUCAGUACCCAAUAUAUGACUUCACAACAAUUGCUGCAAGCUGCGAAAAAGAAGCGAGGUGCAGUUCCAAGGAAAGACUGAAUGUAAGAUUCAAUGCUAUAAUUGUCACAAAUAUUUCACGUUCUAAUAAUAGAAGCACUUCAUUUAUGAUGACUGUAACAUAAUAUGCAGGAAGAUGGAAGUUGAUGGAGUGGUUGGGGUCAUGAGAUUUUGAGAUGGAGCAUUUCUACAUCGCCAAGAAGUUCUGUGCUACUGCUUCUAUAUCGCCAAGAAGUUGUGUUCUACCACUUCUAGUAGCAAGCUGGUAGUCAAUGUGGUGCUUCAAGUUUGAGAUGUCAUGAACAAAGCAAAUUUAAACUUUGUUUUGUUAUCUUCGAAAGUCCUGAGGAGACCAUUUAUCUUUGUGAUACUACAUACUUUACAUUGGGUUGUGUAUUUAAUGAAUGGUUGUUUUUGUCAUUAAGUAGCUGUAAUCUCAUGAUCUACCUAUUUUUAAUAUUGUUUUCUGAAUUAUUAGAUGGCGCAAGAAUAAUUCCUGGUGCUACCAAGCAAACAGCGUUGUAAAAUUGAGUAUUUGCAACCAGAUUUAAUGAGGAAACACACAUACUAUAGCAACUCAUAGUAAUCGUAGUAGUAGCAUAUGCCCAUGUAGCCACCAAUUUUUUGUGUAGCAAUAACGAAGAUAGUUAUUGCAAUGAAAUCCAGAGCGUGGCAAAUCAACAUGUUGCAACCAUUUGUUGGUGUUGUUAUACAACUUGACUUGCCGCACCAGUUCUACGUAGCAAUAUCAAAAUCACUUAUAGCGACGAAAUCUAGAGCGUGGCAAAUCAACAUGUUGCCACCAUUUCGUGGUGUUGUGAUAAACCCUGACUUGCCACACCAGUUCUACGUAGCAAUACCAAAGUUAAGUAUAACAACGAAAUGUCGAGUGUGGCAAUAAAUUGUUUUGCAACCCGCACUAAUCGUUGCUAUUGCACCAGUUGCUACGACAUGGCCAUGUUGCAAUUACAUGUUCCAGCAACACCUCAAGCAUUGUAUUAGCUGCUGUUACCACACCAGAAAACGUAGCAACAACACAGAUUACAAUGCCACAAGUGUUGCGAUAUAACUACUGCAUUUGCAACACUAACCAGAAAAGCGUUGCGACAGCCUCUUGCCACAGUUUGUCUUGCAACACUCCGCAAUGUUUUUCGCGCGUUGCCAUUCCGAUUAUUACAACGUUUUUGGCGCUUUUGCCACAGUUUAGGCGCGUUGAAAUUUUGGGGUGAAUCUAGUAGUGAUAUUUUAUGUGAAUAACCUUGACUGAUUUCCUGACUUUCCUUACUGUUCCUAUGUGUUACCCUUUUGCUCCCCGGCAACGGCGCCAGAAAUGCUUGUUGACACUAGCUAACACCACUUAGAUACUAGGUUGUCAUCCCCAGCAUGGUGCCAGAGUGUACAAAGGUAUUUAUAAAUAUGGAGGCUCUCUAGAAAAUAAUCUAUUCUAUCCGCAAGCGCACAGAUAAAACACCUCAUUGUAGCAUUUCACCAGGUAAGUAUUCUAGGUAUCGUUAUUUAUAAUUUUGCUUAAGAGAACAAGGGUUAAAAUUAAGGAUUAAAUCUAUCAAGGCAUAGACUAGAGAUAAACUUGCAAGAAUACGAUUACUAAUGAGAAACUCGUCACACAGUCACUUACUUAUGUUGAUGCAAUGCUCAUGGUUAACAUGCAAGCUAACACUAGGAGUGUUACAGCUGAUGCCGAUGAAGAAGAACGUGAAAACUACUGCUCGAGAGGCAUGUGUGUGCCGAUGGGGAAGGAGGCGAUGAGGACUUCAUCGUGAUUAAGGCGGACACAGCAAUAGAUAGAUAUUAUUUUCUUCUUUCUUUAAUUGUUCGAGUAUGCCUUAAAUAUAAGAGUCCUGUUUACUUUAAUGUCAUAUUUGGUUGUAACUCUUUGGGCCAGGGUAUAAAUAUAGGCCUAGAAGAAAUGUAAUAAGAUACGAUCAAUCAAUAUCAAAUACAAGUUUACUCCUACUUCUGCAUCUACUUUUUGACGACUUCGUCAAUUUGCAUACUUUUCUUUUUAUGAGUUCUCAUUGAUUCGGUGAGUUGCACGAUCUAGUGUAAUACUCGAUAAUCCUCGAGUUCCGUGUGAACACCUCUUGGCCGUGACAUGUGGGUGCAUCACUGUUGUCGGGACUAAAGUGUUCAAAUCUUCAUCCUUGUCGAUUAUCGGGUCAAAUCGAUUAGCACGUCUUGACAUCGAAAUUGGGUAUUAGCCCUUUGUGUUUGCAUAUCUAUUUUUGCAUCAACAAUUACAAAUGCAUUUAAAGAGAUAACUACCAUUCUAACCUUAUGGCUAGGUACGGAAUUUAAAGUUUACCGACAGUUCUUCUUCUUCCACUCUUGUGUAUCUCUUCAUCUUGAGAGAUGAAGGUCUUGAUGGUUGCAUACCUCUAGUGAUGAUGAUGUCACCUUUGUUCUUUGAUUUUGCCAACAGGUUGAAGGAGAGUUUUAAUAGUAGCUGGCAGCAUCUUGCUUAGUGUGCAUGCUCACAGAACUUUCACUUGUAGAAUUAAUAUACUUUGCUUGAUGUGUUGUCCUGUUUGCAAAACUAAGGUAGAGAUCAAGUGCAUGCGCUCUGCUAGUGGAAAAACAACAACACAACCAAAUCUAUUUCUUUAUUUAUUUUUCUCCAUCCUUAGGCACAUUAAACAAGAUAAAGUUGUGUUACAUGAUUUAUUUAUUUAUGAGUGGUAAGAUCAAAAUAUUAAGCAUUUAAUGUUGCAUUUAAGUUCAUAUGAAAGAAAAUAAUGAAAUUGCUUAAUUAAUGGAAGGAUUGUCUAUCUCUAUAUAAAUUUUCAAAUAAGUAUGACUAUCAUCUUCCCGAGAUUGAAUAUAAUGUUUUAACUUGUUUGGUUAAGAGUGAGACUAAGAGGACGGUGUCAUAAACAAUCUUAAAAGAUAAAUCAUGUUGAGUGAACUAGGUUGAUCAAUUUAAGUUGUAACUCUAACAUGUUUGUGUUUUAAUUUAUUUGCACACCAAGAUCAAGAGAAGAGAGUGACCACUUACCUUAGAAUAUUACCUUCAUUAUUAGAGCGUGAUGGCACUAACUGAUGACGGGUAAAUGACUGGUGGUCCUUCCUCUUGCAUCUUGAGUUGUUCAUAGACAUCUUGUCUCCUCUAUUGCACUCAUUCUUUUGCCAUCUAUUACUUCUUAAAUCUGUUGACUCUUUUCACUCCAAUCAUUAUCAUGCCUGCAACAAAUUAGUGGACAACACAUACCUGAAGAAAUAUACAAGUAAUGACAAGGGCAUUGUUGUAACACAGCUAAGGGUCACUUCUAUGCUACAAAAAGAAUUUACUUGAGCAUACUUAGCAUAGCGCAUUUAUUAUUCACAAUUACUUCUUACUAAGGGUUUGAAUUUAUUUUGCCAUCUUAUUUUUUGAUUCUCAAAUAUAGGCAUUAUGAAUCAGCUCAAACUUAUAGAAAUUAAGUAAUAAUGAAUUAGAGAAUGCAAACCAGCGUGUGGAACGAUGGGAGCAUGAGAUGUGGAAGAACUUGGUUGGAUCAUCUAGACAAGUUUGACCUUUCUUCCUCUUGUCUCAGCUUCUUGACCGUAGAAAUGAGAGUGCUUUGAUUGUGGAACAUGUUUUGUGGCACCCUUCUUCCUUCUUGGCUACGAGUGAGUUGUAUCUUCCUUAUGCGAGAUUAUUGUAUUUCUUCAUCUCCAGUGUGAGUUCAUCUCAGGACUCUCCCAAUUUAAAUUUGGAAGUUUUCCUGCAGGGGUUUGUCUAAUAAGAUAUUCCAAUGUCUACUAUAGCAUACUAUCGGCUAAAAAUUAACCUAGGCACCACGUCUAAUUUGAUUUAGGAAGGCAUUUUAACCUAAGCACCACGCUUAAUUCAAAAAGCCGUUGAAAGUAAAAAUCAACACACCUCUUAUUUCAAGAAUCAAACUAAACACCUCGUCUAAUUAUGUCUCAAGAAAACAGCUUAAAUAAGCACCAUGCUGAAUUCAAAAGGUGUAUGAAAAUACUCCAAACCUUAAGGAUACUAUAGCAAACAAAGGUAACAUGAAAGCAUUAUAGAGAUUUACUCAAACAGUGAUGGAAGAGCAUGAUUAUUGUUCAGAAAAUUGAGCAUAUCUUAAAAGUAGGGACAACCAAGAUAGUAUAGCAACAUUGCAAGAGAUGUAUCUAUGAGAGCAUAUCCCCCAAACUUGAAAAAAUCAAGAUUGGAUGUAAGUAAUUCAAUGUUGCAUAACGAUUGGUUGGACAUACCUUGCAUUUGUCACUCCUUCAUUCUUAUUGCUCUAAAACUUGAAGGGUUAGUAACAAGAAUACCCAAAGGAAUAUUUUGUAUUGAUAAUUCUAUGCUCAAUUAACAAGGGUAGCACAAUAGAAGAACACUCAUGUCAUGGUCUAGACAGUGCUUGUUUUAGGACACUAAGCUUGUCAUUGGGAAACCUUCAAGAUGUGGUUUGGCGAAGUGGUUUCCCUUCUAACACCACUCUAAGUGUAUUAUUCACCAUAACGAGAUCUACAAUAUUUAUGGUAAACUUAUGUGUCCAGAACCACACUCUUAAUGAUUUUAUUAAUAGGUAGAAUAAGGGGAUUGAGGAUCUCAUGUGUGAUAAUACUAGAGACUAAUUGAUCCAGGAGAUUUCUCAUAUGAGCAUAUGUCUGAUAGGAAGUUUAUUGAAAUAAUUCACAUGCUCGACAAUAUGAUCUCCCUUUUCAAACUCCAAGGGUGUCUCUUCAUGGUUGUCUAUAGGCAAUAAGUUUGCCUCUAUUAUUUCAUGCCUAUGACAUUUAUUAGAUAUUUUAUUUUCUAGGAUUUUCCAUGAAUUGAUGUCCCUAGGGUUGGUCUCAUCUAAAGCUUUCUUCUAAACUUGGGUGAGUUAUGUUUAUUAAAGAAAUUGAUUUAAGCUUAACAUUUGAAUUUAGACCAAGUUUAGAUGCUAGUGCUAAAACUUAAUCUUCUUCCAUCCAUUCUUUGACAAUAGCAUAUGUAUUUCUAAUAUGUCCUAUGCAUUCCCACUAUUGUUGUUGCUCUUCUUGGGUAUUCCUAUAAUUUUCAUGACUCCUAUUCUUAGGAUGUCUUGAUUGAUUUCUAGGGUCAUUAUGAAGUUUAGUAGAAGGAGCAUAAAAAUAUUUAUUGGGGUCAAGGAUGGGUUUAGAGAUGGGUUCAAAGACAUUUAAUAUGGGCAUAUAAGGGGAGAAGAUAGAUUUUUUUUCUAAGUGGCUUGGCUCUCCUUCUAUGGCAUCACUUGGCAUGCCAUCCUUAAAUUUUUCCCAAUGUCUUUUUAGGAAGGAAAGGAAGUUGAUGAUGCUUUUCCCAAGAUACUCUUCUAAGAAGAUCUUAUAUGCAUUGAUUUAUGAGCAUCUUGGCUAACUGGAAGUCUGUUCAUGCAAAAAUAGAUCUACAAACACAAAAUUCUGAUACCCAAAUUCGAUGUCAAGAUGUGCCAGUCGAUUUGACCUAAUAAUUGACAAGGAUGAAGAUUCGAACACUUUGGUCCCGACAACAGCGAUGCACCCGGAUGUCACGGCCAAGAGGUGUUCACACGGAACUCAAGAAUCAUUGAGUAUGACUCGCCGAAUCAAUGAGAACUCGUAAAGAGAAAAGUAUGCAAAUUGACGAAGUUGUCGAAAAGUAGAUGUAAAAGUAGGAAUAAACUUGUAUUUGAUGUUGAUUGAUAUAUCCCUAUUACAUUGCUGCUAGGUAUAUAUUUAUUUCCUAGCCUAAAGAGUUACAUCCAAAUACGACUAGGACUUCAAUUAAAGCAAACAAGACUCUUACAUAUAUAAGGCAUACUCGAACAACUAUAGAAAAGGAAACAAUGCUACCUAUUCCUACGUCUGCCUAAAUUACGAUAAAGUCUUCAUCGGCUCCUGCUUCAUCAGCAUGUACACGCCCUUCUAGCAGUAGUCUUCAUGUCCUCCUCCAUCGGCAUCGGCAACCACAAGUCUUAUUGGCACCAAUCAGUAAACAUUUCUUUCGACCUUAUACCGAACCUGAAUCUGCAGAAUCUUUCUACCGAUCAUCUCCUAUCAUCGGCACCAUCUUUAUCGGUUGAUCCUCAUCAGCAUUCUUCUACUAUCAUAUAAUAAUCUUUCUGUUAUCAAUUGGUCUAUUUUAAUUAAUUAACUUGACCCAUUCCAAAAACGGUGUCAACACAUGCCCCCCAAUUUUGGAGUGUAAAAUUAUUAAUGCUCCAAAAUUCUCUGCAGAUAAUGAUUAUCAUAAUUAUCUUCCUUUUGAGAAAAAUCUGUUACCAAAUCUAAACAAACCCAGCUUUGAUUUUCGUAUAUCACACAUCUCUCAACCACCUGUACCCCGAUCAACGCCAAGUCAUGGGGAAAACCGCCCAUCGGCAAAGACUUGAUAUCAAGAUACGCUGCCGAUGGUUCACUAAAAUAUUGUGCACAGUGAAAUAUCCUCAAGAUCAUGAUUACUUGCCACCAAAUCACCUACACAAUCCCUUGAUUAUCGUGCGAACAGUUACCAUUUCCAUCUGAACAACCUCAAAUUUCAUGGAUGCGGCAGAGAGAUAAUUCUGAAAUGCCCUUACUCGACUCAACCUAUAAAUACAUCCUUCCCAGGCACUCAUCUUCUACCUCAUUAUUCCACAUCUCCAAACCCCAUUCUUUCUAGCAGCGAUUCUGUCAAGCAAGAACACAUCUUUAAUCAACAAGAAAUCCCCCCAGCAGAGCCUUCAAGCCCUCGGCUUCAUCUUCGUUUCGCCUAGAAGAAAUGGCCAUCAACUUCAAUGUCCCUAAGGUUAAUCUCUCAUUCAUCCCCCCUUUUUCUUACCGUAGUUCCUGUUAUUUCUUACAAGUUCAUACACUCAGUAUUUUUCCUUUCUUUUCUUCUAUUUCUUUGAUCCUCCAACCUUAGGAACUGAGCAACAAAAUAGUUAUUCCAAUUCUGGUCACAUACCUUUAAUGCUUUCAUGUUUGGUCAUGGCCCAGCUUCUCCUACCCUUGCCGAUGUGCUCAUGCUCAUGGGCCUAGACAUUUCAAUUGCUGAUGACGAUAGGCUCUUCAACAGAAAAUCCAAUUACAAAGUAGAUACCCGCAACAUUGGUGGUUGGACAGGAUAUAUUCAGAAAUAUCGGCAAACUGGAUCGGUCAGUCAGAGAGAACACACCAUUUUCCUAAAUAUGUGGCUAGAUAAAUUCAACUUUUGCGGCCGAUUAGUAGGUCCAACCUGUGUUUAUCUCGUAGCUGCCGAGCAACUGGCCAAUGGUUCUAGAUUCCCUCUUGGUUGAUAUCUCCUAAGCUCUGUCUACCAUCUUCUUCACCAUGUGAUUGAGAAACUCUUGCUGGGCGAACCCAUCGGCAACUUAGGAGGCCCCUGGUGGUUUAUCAGCAUGUGGCUUAAUGCCCAUAUGCAUAAGCAUUUAAAGUGGGACUUCGUUGCUUAGCAAUUCCCACGAGACAUAGCCGAAGAUUAUGAGUUAGUAGAAGAUGAAUCGGCAACCUGCUCGCCCCUCAACUUCAGUCAAGCAAUCAUAGUCCUUCCAAGUACUAAAGCAAAUGAAAAUCAGAUCAACAGAUUUUUCCAGACCUUUAACAAUGGUCUCUCCUGGGAGCAUCGGGCUUGGAUGCCCUAUGUCGAUGAGGACUCCAGAUUCUCCCUCCUCUUUCAUCCUGCCGAUGAAGCACUUAAUAAGGAUAAUGACUUGAUGAUGGCCAUCAUCACUCCCUGAGCGAUCCCAGUGAAUACUUUUGGUAGCAGGAAGAACACCAAUGCUAAUUAUGAAUUCUACAAUCCAUCGGCACUAUCCUGUCAACUGUCUUUUGGUCAAUUUUCCCGAUCAAGCUUUGCUAUUCCGACAUGAUCAAACCAAGGGACACCAUCACCAGUGGUCUCGACUGGAUCAAAGUAGCUCAACUACCGCUAGGUGCCGAUACUGUAGACUGUUGACACUUGCUAACACCAAUUGAAUACUAGGUUGUCAAACCCAGCAUAGCACUAGAGUGUACUAUGGUAUUUAUACGCACACAGAUAAAUCCACAAGCGCACGGAUACCGUUGUAGCUUUUACCCGGUUAAAGAUUUUAUCGUAUCCACAGGGAAACGGGAGAACUGAUCUAUGCUCUAACUUAACCUAGAUAGAUAGGUAGGUGUAAAUAGGAAAUAUGAUAGAAUUUAAUAAGAACAAUAUUAAAGGUAGGAUAACUAUGGGUGAUAAUAUAGGAAUAGAGAGUAGAGCAAUCUAAUAUAUGGGCGAUGGUAGGAGAAUAGAGAGGAUAACUAUGGUUUCUCUACUUCAAAGGGGUAUGUCUAUGUCUGGGACGAACCACGUGAUAAGAAUACACCACAAACGAUGCUUAUCCAUAGGCCGAUAAACCCUACCAGUCCUGCUAAUGGGAGGUGGACUACAGAGGACCAACGUAGGUGUCACAUACGCGGCCUACCACACGAUCCGCCUAGACAGGGGAUAUCCACAAGUAAUCUAGGUCUAAGUACCAUGCUUACACCUAUACUACAACUCUCACCUAUAGCGUCCUAUAGAUUAAAGUACUCAAAAUAGUUGAGAACCAGAACAUACAUGGAUAGUAAUUGCAUAAUGAAAUAGAAGUAGAAUACCUGUGUCAUCGCAUGAGCAAGCUUGAUUAGAGCUUGAUCAUGAUGAAGUACAACCGGAGGAAGAACCGAUAGGCCGGCCUCUCCUCCAAUCCUCCCUCGCUCUCCAUCUUGCUACUAUCUAGAUCUACUCUAGUUUAGAGAUGAGAGGAGAGCUCUCAUCUCCAAACCCUAGCUUUUGCUCUGUCUAUGAAUAAUGAAUAGGGAUCUAGAGGUGUGUCUCCUCCAGGGGCCAGGGGGUCUGCUUAUAUAGCCCCUCUGAAUGAAUGUGUGCCCUCGGAUCAAACCGACCUUAAUCGCACAGUUUUCCUUGAUCCUUUAGGUCGGUGGAGCACAAUCCGCGAAGCUCAACCUGAUUGGUCCACAUGACAGGGCGGGCGCCCAAGGGGGGAGGGCGGGCACCCUGCCCCUGGGCCCACUCGGCUUCUCGUUCGUUCCCGUGCCUUCUGGAGUCUUUUAGAUGAUAGAAAAUUGCGCGGCACGUUAAUAUCUCUAUGUAAACCCGACAUGUGGGCCUUUCCUCUAUAUUUCCUGAUAACCCCCUGCAGAAAUAGAUAAACACCAAAACUCGUGGAAUUCUGUCAGAUAAAACCCUAAGUCUGGGUGUUGGUUGCAUUUGGAUCCUUUUCUUUGUUUAUUUGAUAAUUAAAUUUGAUACUUAAGGACCGUCAACAACUCCCCCAAGCUUACCUCUUGCUCGUCCCUGAGCAAGGAUGGACUCAAUAGUUUAUGCAGUGGUUUUAUGCCUUAAAGGUACACAUGCGUUCAAACAAGAUCUCAUCUCUAGGUUAGGGUAAACUGUUAAGAUUGAAACUUACUUAUUUUCCUUCCACCAUGGGGCUUGCAACUGUCACUUGUGUCUUGAGCAGUUAAAAGAUAGAACGGUCAAGUCAAGCGCCAUGUCUCUUAUUCUUUGAUCAACUAUAGCUCUAGAGUUUUUGUAGAUUUUCAAAAUAAAACUCAGAGAUUCCUUGUAUGACUCUCUCAAAUCUCUCUUUUAUGGUAUUUCUGGAUCCUUACCAAGGCAGUGAUGGUAUAUGCCAUCUCUCAAAGUAUGUAGUAUUUGUGGUAUGAGGCAUAGUGAUAUUGCCUUCUCUCUCAUCCUACUCUAAUGAGGCUUUGAUAUCUGGAGCUCAUAGGUGGGAGACAACUAAUACAUACUUACAAAACAUUUAUUUCAUAGUCAAACCAUGGAUCCAGAGAAACAAGUCAAUAAGUCAAAUCAAGAUGUGCAUGUGUGGCGAAUAAAUGGUGUAUGGUGAUGAUGGUGAUAAUGGUCAAAACAAUGGUGAAAGUCUAAUUCUACUUUUGCUCUUUUGAGGGGAUGCAUACCUUUCUUGCACUUUGAAGCUUUUUGAGGGGAAUGAGAUGCUCUACAUUUUCUUUUUCUUUCCUCUCAGGUGGGUAUCUUGUACCCCUAAUUCUACUGUCGGACACUUGUCCAUUUUUACCUCUCGUCUCACUUUUUCUUUUCUUCGAGGUUCCGGGCACUUGCCCCUUUUUAUUUCCUCGUAUUUUUUUUCUUUUUUUUCAGAGCAUUCACCCUCCUAAUGUAGCAAGUGGUAGUAACCAAAAUAUCUCGAGCAUUUAUUUCAUGGGGAGUAACAGGGAUAGGAUAAUGUUUUUGGCUACUCUCUCCUGGAUAGGAGUAGAAUAAUUUUGGGUGAAUCUGGAGAUGGAAAUGAAUGGAUGUAUGUAGAUGCGUACUUCUGGAGUAGAAGCAGCAUGUAUGAGUGAACGUGCAAGUGAAUCUUGAUUUUAACCGCAUGACAAGCUCCUAACGGACUACACAGCUUGACCACACUCAAUGCUCAUAAGCAGUAAAAAGUAAAUGUAUGGUUCAUAGUCUAAUAAGCAUGUAUAUGUGGCUGUGGUAUGAUUUUAAACUCUCAUCAUACAGGAACUCGUCAUGCAACAUUUUAAAUAUUUUCAAAGAUAAAAUUCUCCAGAAUUCUAGCAUCUCUAGGAACAGAUAAAUAGCAGCUCAACCUUCCCAUAUCGUAUCCAUUAACGACUUACACUUUAGAUCAAGUACUCUUCCCACAAGUUUAGGUUUAGAGCAAAUCUUAAUUCAUAACAGUCAUGCCUAAACUUGAGAGAGAUUUCAAUUUUGAGAACUAGUCAUGGCAGAGCAACUAUUCAUUAUUUCUAUAUGAGAGCUUAUCAUGAGGGUUCAUAGCAAACUUCAUUUAUUUAUUUAAUUAGCAAACUAAGCAAAGAUAUACAUAUAAGCACAAAAAUCUUUAUUUGGGUUUUUAUGAUUAUGCAUCUUUUUAUUAUUUGAGUAAAGUAUAAACAUGAGUAGAAAUACUUAGCUGGAUAAAUGGGGGUGCUCUCCCCCAAGCUGGAUUUUGACGUAAUUUCUUCUAAUGUAGCUAGCAGGUGGUGGAGGUGUAUUUGAAUGUCGGCAGCACCCUGACAGCGAUUAGGAUGUCCUCCGUCUGCUAGUCUUCUUUGAUCCUUGAAUUAUGUGGACCUCAAAUAGACAACAAAGCUUUGUGGAACAAGUUAAGUGUUAGCAUAAAUAUCUAGCCUUUAUCAUGUUGAGCCUCCUUAAUAAAUGUUACUCUCUUUGGUAAGAUCAUAAAUUUAUUUUUAUAUUUUCAUUUUUAUAGGACAGGAAUAUAUUUAUUUUAUUUUUAUGACACCACAGUGAAUGUACUUAUAGGUUUUAUGCCAUGAGCAUACUCACAUGGGGCUUACUAUUUUUAACAUUUUUAUUUUCUUUUCAAGAUAGCAUGAUUAACUAACAAGCCAUUUAAGGAAAGUAAAUAAUUUAAGGGAAAAGGGAAUGCAGAAAGGAUAAAUAUGGAUAACUGUUGACGGUCCUUAAGUACUAAAUUUAACCAUCAACUAAACAUGGAAAAGGAUCAAUAUGCACCAAACAUCUAGAAUUAGGGUCUUAUCUGACAGAAUUCCACGAGCUUUGGUGUUUAUCUAUUUUUGCAGGGGGUUAUCAGAAAAUAUGGAGAGAAGGCCCACAUGUCAUGUUUACAACGAGAUAAUUACGUGCCACAAAAUUUUCCUCAAUCUAGAAGAGUCCAGAAGCCACGGGAACGAACGGGAAGACGAUCGGGCUCGGGAGCAGGGCGCCCGCCCUCCCCCCUUGGGCGCCUGCCCUGAGUUGGAGUCCAAUAAGGACCCGUCUUGCGGAUUACCCUCCACCGACCUAAAGGAUCAAGGAAAACCAUGUGAUCAAUGUCGGUUUGAUCCGACGGCCCAAAUUCACUGGAAAGGACUAUAUAAUCAAGGCCUCUCCACCCCCGGGGGAAGAGAAGAGAAGAGGAGAAAUCAUUAUCAGAGGUAGCCAUCAAAGUUAGGGUUUAGAACUUCUCUCCCACAGAGAAUUAGAAUUAGUUACUCCUUAAUCCUUCAAGUUUAGAGGAUUGAUUAGAUCGCAAUUAGAGAAGUAGAGCACUACGCUCUGGAUUCGGAUCUUCGGUAAUAAUGAUUGGUAUUAUUUCAUAUCUUUCUCUAAUACUUUGUUCUAAUUGCAUUAUGUCUCUAUUUAUUAUGCUCUUAGUUUGCUCUAGUUCUAUAUUUGAUAUAGUUAUGAUUGAUAAUGAGUUUAUGUAUAAGUUUGCAAAGCGCUUAGCUCUUGACGCACGGGAGUUAAGUGGUAGAUCACAUGUGGGCGUGGUGCUUAGAUGUUAUUUACCUGCAAAUGUAUCCUAUUGGCUGGGUCAUGUGGUAGUUCGCGAUAGUGACAGCUUGGUUGAUUCUUAUAUAGUCCACCCUCCGUUGAUAGGACAGGCAGAAUUUGUAUUGAGGAGUAAGUCUUGCGAUGCUCUGAUUUACUUUAGCAAUGUUCCUUAUACAUGAAUGAAGAGUCUUUUAUGCUAUAUAUGAUCUUGUAGAUAACUAGAGUAGAUUGUGACUUAGUAGAUAGUAGAUAACUUAAAAUCCAUUCUCUAGCUAAUCUGACAUCACCUUACAUAUAUGAGGAGUAGUCAAUUUUCUAAUCGCUGUGUUAUUAACCCAUGAACUUAUAAUUCACUAUCAUUAUCUUUAUGGUUUACCCCCUGCCAAAGUAAGUGACUGUGUGACGAGUUCCUCAUCAGUAAUCAUGUUCUUGCAAGUUUAUCUCUAGUCUAUGCCUCGAUAGAUUUAUCCUUAUCUUCAUUUAAUCCUCUUUCUCCUGAGCAAAAUUAUAAAUAACGGUACCUGGAAUACUUAUCCUGGUGAAAUGCUACAAUGAGGUGUUUUAUCUGUGCGCUUGCAGAUAGAAUAGAUUAUUUUCUAGAGAGCCUCCAUAUUUAUAAAUACCUUUGUACACUCUGGCACCAUGCUGGGGAUGACAACCUAGUAUCUAAGUGGUGUUAGCUAGUGUCAACAAUAACUACCGAUUUUACCUUUCGGCGAGGGUUCAAUGUUUUAAGUCUUCUGAACAAGACUUCUCACCGUGUUCAUUCUUUAGGUGCGUCAUUUGAUUUAGGUGUGGACCUUGACGUCUGCACCUCUUGAUACGGUGUCACCCAUGUUCUUCGUUUGCCCAGCAGUUCGAAGUUCGGCGUUGGCAGCAUCCUGAUCAGUGUGUUUGUGCUCGUAGAUCCAGGUCCUUCACUUGGUGGAAUUUGGGAGUUGUAAAACUCCACCAUGUUUUGUUCCAAGUGUACCUGCUCAUAGAGACAAGGCAGAGAUCAAGUGCAUGGGUCCUGUUGGUGGAAAACACCAACAGAACCAAAAGUAUAUUUAUUCUUCUCUAUCCUUAAGCCUAUGGAGCAAGGCAAAGUUGAUGGGUGAUAAGUUCAUGAGUGUAGCACUUAUAACAUUUGUGAGAUCAGAUCGCUCAACCUUAUGGAAAGAUAAUCUAUCUAUGUAUAUGUCUUUUUCUUUAUAUCUUCCCAAAGAUUGAAUGUGCAACAUUUUAGCUCAUAUGAUUAGGAGUGUGGGAUAAUGGAGGUAGUACUAGGAACACAGAUUAAAGGACUAAACAUGCUGAAUCAAUUAGGUUGGUUAAUUUGGAGUUAUAAAUCAUACAUGUUUGUCUCUUUAUUUAUGUGAACGCCAGAACCAAGGAGAAGCUUAUAAAAGUGAUAGUCACAUAUCUUAAGAUGUUACCUUACUUGAAGAGUGAUGGUACAGUAUCACCUUGUGGAAGCUUUCCUUUCUUAGCGGUUGUGCAUUGUGUUUGUAGCACCCGCCAUGGAUCAUCUCUUACGAGCUAUGUCUUCCUUGUGUAAAUUGUUAAACUUCAUGUGUCUCUCUUUGUCUCCAAUGUGAGUUUAUCUAAGGACUUCCCAGGUUGAUAUUGAAAGUUUUCCUGCAGGGGUUAGUCUGACAAAAUAUACCAAUAUCUACUCAAGGAGUUUUUAGUUCAGUAACCAAACUAGACUCCAUGUCUAAUCAGAUUAAGGAAGGCUAUUUAACCUAAGCACCAUGCUUAAUUUAAAUGUCAAUGGAAGUAUGUCGAGUACUUCCAAACCAACACUUGCUUGUAAAUAGACAAAGAUAGCAUGACAGCAUUUAUAGAGAUCUACUCAAGUGGAGAUGAAGUAGUGUGUUUAGUAUUUAACAAAUUGAGCAUGUCUCAAAGGUACGGACAACCAACAUAGCAACAUGGCAAAGGAUGUUUUUAUGUAAAGUACUCCCCCAAGCUUGAUUUUUGCAAAAUUCAAGUUUGGAUGAAUUUCAUUCAGUGUUGCAUGAUGAUUGGUUGGACAUACCUUGUGCUUGUCGUUCAUCCGAUGUUCUUGCUCCAAGCCUGGAAAGGUUAGUGACAAGAAUACCCGAAGGAAUAUUUUCACAAUUAUCUUUAUGUGCUCAAAACACAAGGUAAUGCUGUAAAUAAUUAAAAGCUCAUGUUACGAUAUGAUCAGUGCUUAUUUUAGGACACUAAGCUUGUCCUCGGGAAACUAUCAAUUUAUGUUGGUGAAGUGGUUUCCCCUUCGAUGCUGACCUAUAUCAAGAUCAACUCAACGAGAUCUGCAAUAAUUAUUAUAGACAUAUGCAUCGACAACCGCCCUUUUAAAGUUUUUAUAAAUAGAAAGGAAGAGGGGGUUGGAGAUCUCAAAUGUGGUGAUGUUGGAGAGACCAAUAGAUUGGGAAGAUGUUGCAUAUGAGCAUGGAGUAAACGAAGUGGCUAUGAAAUAAAUUCCAUGCUCAUUAAUGUUAUCUUCGUCUUCAAUCUGAAUGUUCGGAGUUUCUCCAAGAUUGGUCUCACCUAUGUCCUCUUCUGUAGUUGGAUGAAUCUCAUCUUCAAAGGGAGUCAAGAACUCACCAUUUGAAAUUGAGCCAAAGUCAGAAUCCAUUAAGGCUUCUUCCUUAUCCAUCCAUUCUACACAUUCUAGCCAUUUAGAACUUGUGAUCAAGACAGGGGAGCUGAUAGAAUCUUCUAUAUGGCUUAGCUCUCCUUCUAUGGCAUUACUUGACAUGCCAUCCUUAUGGUCUUCAUGACUCCCAUGGUUUGGUCGUCUUGGUGAAUUGCUAGGAUCAUCAUGAGACUGAAAAGGAGAGGGAUAAGAAGGAUCUCUAAGGUCAAGGAUGGAUUUAGAACUUGUGAACAUGGAAGGGGAGCAGAUAGAAUUUUCUAUAUGGCUUAGCUCUCCUUCACUUGAUAUGUCAUCCUUGACUUCUUCAUAACAGGAUCCAAGACAUUCUCUAAGAGAACCAUUAUUGCAAGGAUUUGAAUUAUCCCUGCUUGAAGGUCUCUUAUGGAACCAGAAGUCUAAACCAUCAGCAUCUAAAAGAUUUAAGGUCGAAAUUCCUUCCUCCCUUGGAGAAUUUUGGGGUAUUGAUGGUUUAGGAUCGAUAGCUAAAGUUUGAGAUUGAAGUGGUUGUGAUCUGGCUAUCGAAACUUCUUCUUCAUGUCUAGGAACUGGUUCUUUCUCUUUCUCAGGGAUAUAAAUGCUUGGAAACUUUCCACUCAAUGAAUCAAUUAAAUCCCUAGCUUCACUAGCAGGUAGGUGAUACAAGGAUCCUCUAGAGGCUGUAUUCAAGGUUUGCUUAUUUUCCUUACUAAGGCCCUCAAAAAAGUGAAUUAGAAGAACUUGUUCUGGAAUAGAAAGCUUUGGGCCAGUGAGAGUAAGGUUAAUAAAGCGGUCCCAGGAUUUGCCAAGAGAUUCUUCUUCUAGUUGCCUAAAAGAAAGAAUCUCACGCCGAAGUUCCACCACUUUGGAGAUUGGAAAAUAUGUAAAAAGAGAACUAUUAUAUAACUCCUUCCAAUCUCCAUGAACACUCCCUACUUUGAGUUUGUACCAAUGUCUAGCUUUUCCUGUUAAAGAGAACGGAAAGAGCUUCCAUUCAAGGGUCUCAUCGGACAUGCCUUCUAUGCGAAGGAGGUCACAGACUCGAUAAAACUCUCUUAGGUGUGUGUAUGGGUUUUCCUCACCUUCUCCUGAGAAAGGUUGUUUUUGAACAAAUUCUAUGUAUUCGGGGUCUAUCUCAAAACUAGAUGCUAUGAUAGGCUUUGAAGAUUUUGGUGGUUCGAGAUGUGUGUCCGUAGGUCUAUGAAAUUCAUAGAUACACAUGUUUGAAUUCAUGAUAGACCAGAGAUCAAGGAUUAGAUAAGAAGAAAGAAUAGCAGAGAUAAGGCAAAAGAUAAAAAGAAAAAUAUAUUUUUUAUUAUUUUUUUAGAAAAUGAUUAAGCUAGUUCGUAGUCAACUCAGCAACCGUCUCCCCGGCAACGGUGCCAAAAAGCUUGUUGACACUUGCUAACACCACUUGAAUACUAGGUUGUCAUCCCCAGCAUGGCACUAGAGUGUACUAUGGUAUUUAUACGCACACAGAUAAAUUCGCAAGCGCACAGAUACCGUUGUAGCUUUUACCCGGUUAAAGAUUUUAUCAUAUUCAUAGGGAAACGGGAGAACUGAUCUACACUCUAAGUUAACCUAGAUAGAUAGGUAUGUGUAAAUAGGAAAUAUGAUAGAAUUGAAUAACAAUAUUAAAGGUAAGAUAACUAUGGGUGCUAAUAUGGGAAUAGAGAGUAGAGCAAUCUAAUAUAUGGGCGAUGGUAGGAGAAUAGAGAGGAUAACUAUGGUUUCUCUACUUCAAAGGGGUAUGUCUAUGUCUGGGACGAACCACGUGAUAAGAAUACACCACAAUGGAUGCUUAUCCAUAGGCCGGUAAACCCUACCAGUCCUGCUAACGGGAGGUGGACUACAGAGGACUAACGUAGCUGUCAAAUACGUGGCCUACCACAAGAUCCGGCUAGACAAGGGAUAUCUACAAGUAAUCUAGGUCUAAGCACCACGCUUACACCUAUACUACAACUCUCACCUAUAGCGUCCUAUAGAUUAAAGUACUCAAAAGAGUUGUGAACCAGAACAUACAUGGAUAGUAAUUGCAUAAUGAAAUAGAAGUAGAUUACCAGAGUCAUCCCAUGAGCAAGCUUGAUUAGAGCUUGAUCAUGGCGAAGUACAACCAGAAGAAGAACCGACAGGCCGGCCUCUCCUCCAAUCCUCCCUCGCUCUCCAUCUCACUACUAUCUAGAUCUACUCUAGUUUAGAGAUGAGAGGAGAGCUCUCAUCUCCAAACCCUAGCUUUUGCUCUGUCUAUGAAUAAUGAAUAGGGAUCCAGAGGUGUGGCUCCUCCAGGGGCCAGGGGGUCUGCUUAUAUAGCCCCUCCAUAUGAACUUGGGCCGUCGGAUCAAACCGACCUUAAUCGCACGGUUUUCCUUGAUCCUUUAGGUCGGAGGAGCAUAAUCCGCGAAGCUCAACCUGAUUGGUCCAGAUGACAGGGUGGGCGCCCUGCCCCCGGGCCCGCUCGGCUUCUCGUUCGUUCCCGUGGCUUCUGGAGUCUUCUAGAUGAUAGAAAAUUGCGUGGCACAUUAAUAUCUCUAUGUAAACCCGACAUGUGGGCCUUUCCUCUAUAUUUCCUGAUAACCCCCUGUAGAAAUAGACAAACACCAAAACUCAUGGAAUUCUGUCAGAUAAAACCCUAAGUCUGGGUGUUGGUUGCAUUUGGAUCCUUUUCUUUGUUUAUUUGAUAAUUAAAUUUGGUACUUAAGGACCGUCAACACAGACGUCGACCUAUCGACCUAGGUACCAGCUUUUUUCAUCACUAAAUCCUACAAGUCAUGGUGGCAAGAGUGGAGGGGACAACUGUUCACAGCAUCGGCUCAUGUAUAUCAGAACAUGAUCGACCCCGAGCAUGAGAUCCCUAAUGACACAAUAAGCCUCUUCCCAGCACUUAACAUUUUCUUUACUUCUAACCCCAUCGGUAACUGACUCUUUCAUUUUGACAGGUUGACGACCCAGCACCAUCGGUGAGCAAAAGUGGGUGUCCAUUCGACCUGCAACCAGUAUCCCCGGUCUCUUUUAUCGGUCAUGAUGCCCCCACUCUGGCAGCUCUGAUGCAUCGAGGAAUCCGCUUCAAGAAGAUGACCACCAAGCGCUCAAAGGCUACUCCAUCGGUCGCGGCCGCCACCUUAGCACAAGCUUUCAAGGUAAAAUCCUUAGUCAUCUUUAUCAUACCGAUUUCAGCCUAUACUCACACUAUUCUUUCAGGGCGUAUCGACCACAACUGGAACAUCAUCGGUAACUUUGCCUUGCACCGAAUACUUUUAUUCUUAAUGAAUUUUCAGAAAUAUUUUCUACCUUUAUACUCGACUUGUAAGAUUUUCAUACUUCAUACAAUUUGCAGCAAGAAACCAGUGUAUCGGCAAGAACCCAAGAUGUUCAAACAUCGGGUGUCGAUGCCCCCCAGCCAGCAGCCACUAAGGCCCAAGUCAAACGCAAGGCCACAAAAGAUACCAAGGCCCAGCCAAGCCCAGCCAAAGCGACAGAAGGCUGCACCAUCUUCUCCCCCUCAACUAGCACCUUAGAGUCAAGCUAAACCGGCUGAUGCACCCGAACAAAAGGAUGAUCCAAGCAAUCAGGGCACGUCAUUGGCCGUUGCCUCCAAACAGAUAAUCAUUAUCCCAACACAAGGUAUGUCAGCGGCUAUCAUAUUUCAAGAAUCUUCAUCUAAUAACUAUUCGCUAUACUCAGCAUUAACCGAUCUCAUAGCUGAAGUGAUUCCAUCGGCAGACCCAACCGAUCCUCUCAAGAAACAAUCCAGAUCAAAUCCUCUAGCCAAAGGCAAGAAAUUGCCUUAAAACAAGUAAGCUACCUGGCUCAACUGAUUCUUGCAUUUGCAAUAUUCAUGCUUACUUCUAACUAAUUCACUCCCUCUCUCUUCCUUAGGAGCAGGACUCUCCCAACAGCCUAUUCUCCUUUGCCAUCUAACGAUGAAGGAGAAGAAGCAAGCUCUUCACUAGCGCUUGGGGCAACAUCGGUGGAAGUCAAGUCCAAGCUAGAGGACCUAUUGGGUUUAUUGCAGCAAGAUAUAGCUCAGCUGGUGGAUGAUUCUGACCCAGCAAAUGCUAUCUUCAAGACACUCCGUGGUCAGGUCCCAGUCGAUGUUGAACAAGUGCUUUUUCAAGCUACCCAUCUGGAGAGUCGCUAGCUUCAAUAUCAAAAGGCCACUCAACGCCUUGACAACAGAGCUGCCCAAGCCCAGCUCAAAGAAGAAAUGCUGCAAGUAAAGCACGUUGCCUAUGAGAAGCACAAAAGCAUCGGCAAUUUACAAGCUUUAGGUGCUGUGAAGCAAUAGAUUUUAGAUCUGUCGGCCAAAAGAGAAGCUCUGCUGGCGGAACUCAAACAGGUUGAAGAAGCACUGACUCAGGCCAAGCAAGAAGAGAGCCAGCUGCCCGAUAUGAUCAAAGGUCUCCAGCAAGAAAGGGACACUCAAGCCCACAAAGCCUGUCAUUGAAGAAGAAGCUCAAACUAGUGGAGGGUUCAGCCGAUGAAGACACCAAAGAGAUAGAGGAAGCCAAUCAAAUUUGCCUGCAUGAAAUAUCGGCUAUCCAGACUUUGUUGAACUUGUAUAUUUCUUUCAUCGGUAGUAUGUCGCACCAGCUCUUCUAUGAAAACUAGUAUUUUGUCCAGCCGAUAGGAUUGUUAUCGGCACUUAAACUUCUUAUGCAUCGACCCAGAUACUAGGGUAGUACUUCUUUAAAUACUUUCCAUUUAAUGUUCUAGGAAUUCAACCCCUUCGAGGGUUUCUAAGAUGUAUGCAUUGCCAGGAGUAGAUCGACUUAUCCGAUAAGGACCUUCCCAAUUAGGAGACCAUUUACCAAAUUUCGAACUUUUAGUCCCAAUUGGUAGAAUUAAUUUCCAAACUAAAUCUCCAUCGGCAAACUCCUUAGCCUUUACCAUUUUAUCAGACCAUCUAGCUACUCUCCUCUUAUUCUCCUCAAUGCUAAUCAGAGCUCUCAACCAAUGACUGGCCACAUCCUCCAAUUCAUCUUUCAUCAGAGUAGUAUAAUCAUCGGUAGUCAACUGAUCCUGAGAGAAUAUCAGCCUAGAGCCAGUUUUGAUUUCCCAAGGCAAUACCGCAUCAUGCCCAUAUACUAGCUGAUAAGGUGAUACUUUAAUUGCACCAUGACAUGCCAUCCGAUAUGACCACAAGGUCUCAUUUAAUACCGUAUGCCAUCGUUUAGGGUUCUCUUCAAUCUUACGCUUGAUAAGUUUAAUGAUCCCUUUGUUAGAAGCUUUGGCCUGCCUAUUAGCUUGAGCAAAAUAAGGAGAAGAAUUUAAAACCUUAAUUCCCAUACCGAUUGUGAAUUCAUCAAACUCCCCUAACGUAAACAUAGUACCUUGAUCGGUAGUAAUCGUCUGAGGAAUACCAAAACGGUAAACAAUAUGCUCCUUUACAAAAUCAAUCAUGUUGGCCGAUGUUACUUUUUUCAAAAGAAUUACUUCAACCCACUUAGUGAAAUUACCGGUAGCAACAAGUAUAAAUUUAUGCCCUUUACUUGAUGGCGAAUAAAUUUGACCGAUUAGAUCAAUAGCCCAUCCUCGGAACGGCCAAGGUUUAAUAAUAGGAUUCAUGGUCGAUGUAGGUGCUCUUUUAAUGUUACCAAAUUGUUGACACCCUUGGCAUCCUUUGAAAUAUUUGAAACAAUCUUCGAGAAUAGUUGGCCAAUAAUAUCCAUUCCUUCUAAUCAUCCACUUCAUUUUAAAAGCCGACUGAAGUGCUCCACAUACUCCCUCAUGAAUUUCACCCAUCAAACUCUUUGACUCAUCAUCACUAAGACAUCUGAGCAAAACUCCAUCCAAAGUAUGAUAAUAUAGUUCAUCAUCAAGGAGUACAUACUUAAUGGCCUGAAAUCUAAUACGUUUUUCAUCCUUCUUAGAGGGGUCUUUCAAGUAAUUGAUGAUUUCUGUUCUCCAAUCAUCGGCACCGAUUACUGAUGUGAGUACCUCUAGGAUAGGCUGAUACCCCGAGGCAUAUUGGGCUAGCCGAUUAGCUUCCUCAUUAUGUAAUCGAUGAAUAUGUUCCAGAUGGAAGUAAUUCUUUCAACAAUCGCAAACAUCUUUCAUAAUACGAAAUUAAAAUCUCACUUCGUCAUUCAUAAAUUCCAAUCAAUUGAUUUAUAACAAGCAUAGAAUCACUAAAUAUUUCAACAGCAUCGGCACGAAUCUCUCUUAGUAAUUCCAACCCUUUUACCAAAGCUUGUUAUUCAACAUGAUUAUUUGUCGAUGUGGCAACAAUCGGCAAUGAAAACUCAUACCUUCUUCCUCGGGGAGAAAUUAAUACUAUGUCGAUACCCGCCGCUUGAUCAUAUGUAGACCCAUCAAAGAAAAGUGUCCAAGGAGCAACUUCUAACUAGCUCACUGAAUUGCAAUAUUGAGUAACAAGAUCGGCCAUAACUUGCCCUUUGACUACCUUAGCCAAUUCGUAACGCAAGUUAAACUUUGACAAUGCUAGAACCCACUUGCCGAUUCUACCACUCAAAAUCGGCAUCGACAAUAUGUAUUUGACCACAUCAUCUUUGCAUAUAAUGCCUUAAUUUAGUACAAGAAAACUAUAGACAUAAGCACAAUUUCUCAAUGGCCGAAUACCUCGUCUCAGCAUCCACCAAUCUUCUACUUAAAUAAUAAAUCACACGCUCUUUCCCUUCAAAUUCUUGAAUGAGGACUGAACCGAUAACAGUGUCAUCGGUCGGCAAGUAUAAUCUGAAGGGUUUUCCAUGUUGAGGUGGAACCAGUACCGGAGGAGUCAUCAAAUAAUUCUUAAUUUCAUCUAGAGCCAACUGUUGUUCAAUCCCCCACAUAGACUCCUGAUCAGCUUUUAAUUUGAGCAAAGGACUGAAAGCCUUGAUCUUGCCCGAUUGAUUGGAUAUGAACCUCCUGAUGUAAUUAAUCUUGUCGAUCAAGUACUGAAGCUCAGUUUUAUUGGCAGGAGCAACUACUUUGCUGAUUGCAUCAAUGAGUCUUCUACUAAUUUCAAUCCCUCUCUGAUGCACCAUGAAACCCAAAAACUGGCCUGCCGAUACACCGAAUGCACAUUUAUUAGGAUUCAUCUUCAAACCAUGUUUCCUUAUACACUUGAGUAUCUUCCGUAGAUCGACUAGAUGCUUCAUAAAAUCUCUGGACUUAACCACCACAUCAUCAAUGUAAAUCUCAACCAACGUGCCGAUGAACUCAUGAAAAAUAAAAUUCAUAGCCCUUUGAUAAGUGGCACCAGCAUUUUUCAAACCAAAAGUCAUAACUAUCCAUUCAAACAAACCAACAUGGCCAGGACACCUAAAAGCAGUUUUGGGUAUGUCUUGUUCAGCCAUGAAUAUUUGAUUAUAUCCUGCAUUGCCAUCCAUAAAGCUAAUAAUUGUUGACACUUGCUAACACCACUUGAAUACUAGGUUGUCAUCCCUAGCAUGGCACUAGAGUGUACUAUGGUAUUUAUACGCACACAGAUAAUCCGCAAGCGCACGAAUACCGUUGUAGCUUUUACCCGAUUAAAGGUUUUAUCGUAUCCAUAGGGAAACGUGAGAACCAACUACGCUCUAACUUAACCAAGAUAGAUAGAUAAGUGUAAAAUAGGAAAGAUGUAGAAUUGAAUAAGAACAAUAUUAAAGGUAAGAUAACAAUGGGUGAUAAUAUGGGAAUAGAGAGUAGAGCAAUCUAAUAUAUGGGCGAUGGUAGCAGAAUAGAGAGGAUAACUAUGGUUUCUCUAGUUCAAAGGGGUAUGUCUAAGUCUGGGACGAACCAUGUGAUAAGAAUACACCACAAAGGAUGCUUAUCCAUAGGCCGAUAAACCCUACCCGUCCUGCUAACAGGAAGUGGACUACAGGGGACCAACGUAACUGUCACCUACGCGGCCUACCACACGAUCCAGCUAGACAGGGGAUAUCCACAAGUAAUCUAGGUCUAAGCACCACGCUUACACCUAUACCACAACUCUAACCUAUAGGGUCCUAUAGAUUAGAAGUACUCAAAAGAGUUGUGAACCAAAACAUACAUGAUUAGUAAUUGCAUAAUGAAUGAGAAGUAGAUUACAAGAGUCAUCCCAUGAGCAAGCUUGAUUAGAGCUUGAUCAUGACGAAUUACAACCGGAGGAAGAACCGACAGGCCGGCCUCUCCUCCAAUCCUCCCUCGCUCUCCAUCUCGCUACUAUCUAGAUCUACACUAGUUUAGACUCCAAACCCUAGUUUUUGCUCUGUCUAUGAAUAAUAAAUAAUGAUCAAGGGGUGCCUCCUCCAGGGGCCAGGGGUUCUGCUUAUAUAGUCCCCUCAAGGGAAUCUGGGCCGUCGGAUCAAACCGACCACUACAAGAGAUGUGACCUUCUAUGAUGAUUAUAUGCUGACAACAGAGCAAUCUGUCACUAAAUUAUUAAGAUAAUGACGAUUUUCAAGAGCCAACCUUGGUUAAUGACGAAAAUAUAUUACCUGUCACGAAGUCAAAAUCAAAAUCGUCAUUACCUAUUUUGGCAUCGUGGUUAUGACGGAUUUAUAUGACAAAUGUUCAUGCAUCAUAGUUAUUUAUUGAAUAAAGAAAAUUAUGGUUAGAUUGUUCUGACAUAAUUGAUAAUACUAUAAAAGUCCUUCGCAAUGUUAAUUUGUCACUUGUUUGAGUCCAUAAUUCUACCAUAUCAUUAUUAAAUAUUUACUUCUCUCUACUUUAAUGAUAAACUACACCCUAAUAUUGCUUAGAAAAGCUGCAAUUGGUCUCCUGCCAACGAUUGGUGCAAAAAAUGGCCACCAGCCAAAAAAAUUGUCUCCCCACCAACAAUAAAAUUGUCCCUCUACCUCCCCACCAAUGAUUCCCGCCAGCCUCUCCAUCUCCCGCCAUCUUUUUUUGACCAAUUACCACUUAUGUCCACUAUAACAAGUCCUUCAUGUAUUCAAAUCAAGGGUAUUAUAGUAAAUUCCUAUACAAGAACUGAAACCCUGCACAUUCCAGUCUGAUUUCAUCUUUCCCCUUUCCCAUGUGCAUCUAGCCGCCACCACUCCCCCUCUACCUCUACCGUAGCUCUUGCUCCCAGAAGCCAGCACCACCAGCCAGCACCACAUCUACCAGCUACCCCCUUCCUUCCUAGUGCUAGGCGACGAGUUCUGCUCCAAAUACAAGAUGCCUCCUAGGAGAAAGGUGCAGACUGCCAAGAUAGUUGAGACGCCCACAGGUAAUUCCUCAAGCUUGAGCGCCAGGCAAGGGAAAAACAAGUGGAUCUGAGGGGUGCCAAUGGGGAUUUGGGUUUUUGGUGUUCUGAUGUUCGAACUUAGGGUUUGAGGUGAGGGGAUUUUGGUUCCUGUGGGCGAGUCCGUGUCCAGUGGCAGUGAGUCGGCGAGGGAUGUGUGCCUCCGUCCUCUUGAGAUUUUGGGGGAGUGGGCAGCAAGUGUGGAGUGGCCUUCUGGAGCACGGAGUGGCCUGGUUGAUGGUUGUUGACGGCCCUGUGUCUGCACGGAUGAGUUGCUGUUAUGCGUAUGCACGGAGAUAAACAAUAGAAGCUAGUUAGCUAGCAUGUAUGUUUGUACCAUUUCGUUCAUGGUUUUUGAAAAAUCAAAGGAAAAUAAUUGUAGAUCCAUAUGGGUUCAAACUAAUUUUGUUAGUUUAUCAGAUCCAUCCUAUACAGAAGAAAAAUGUGUUUACACAUUUUGUUAUUAUGCAGAUUUCUAUGUUUAAUAAAUAUGAAGAGAAUGUUUAAAGCAAAAUAAAUCUUGAGUUCCCUUAACAUUAGGAAAACUAAUUAUUUUUAGAAUUAGAAAAACCAGAACUAAAUUUGGUAAAUACUAGAAAGCAGAGUUCCACUCUGCAAAGAUUGUUGCCUAACAAUCCUAGAUACCACGAGUUAGGAGAUCCUCUGAAGGUUAUUAGCAAAUAGAAAAUAGCACUAUCAAUUUCAGAGUAUGCUGCUAUAAGUUCAAAAUUAAAAUGAUGGAAGUGGAGUGAAGAAAAGACAAUCCUUCAUAGGAUCUUCUUGGUGAAUCAUUCAUAACCCUUGUUCUAAAACCUGCUGACUUUUGUGAAUCCGCAACCCAUCUUAAAAUUCAGAAGUUCUACAGAGAUGCAUGAGCAUUUACAUGUGUGGGAAAUUAGUGGUUAAACUAGAAAUAGUAAAUAAUACAGAGAUGCUAGCAGUAUACAUUUUUAUUUUACAAGCAACAACAUACAUUUUUAUUUUUUGCUCUGACUACUCCCUUAUAAUUGUAUCAAUUGAAUGUACAGAAGCAACGACACUCGAAUAUUUAAGACAGAGGAAUGAAAACAUUAUGAGAAAUGACCAAUUUUUCCAAAGCCUUGGGCUCAGUACCCUAGCUGUGCAAGUUAAGGGUAAAAGUGCAAGGAACAAGGAUGAUGUUCCAAAAAAAUCUGGAUCUCUGUACGAUCCUGAGGACGAUGAGGGCUCUAACCAACAUGAUGAGGAUGAAGUCAGCAUGGUAUGAAGGAUUGUUAUUGAUCAUUAUCAUUUUGGUGACUGCACUUCUAUUAAUUUUUGGGUCUAAUUCUUCUUGUUUGCUUCAUACUAGGCUCCUAACAUGGGUGAGGAUGGAUGUAGCAAGAAUGGCCAACUUAUUGGCAAGUUCUGCGCUAGAGGUUCAACAACGUCAAAGAGAGUGGUGGCACCACAAGAACAAGGGGAAAGUACUAGAGUUACGAGGCAAAGGACUGCUGCAAAUCGAAGCCUCACUAUUGUCACGCAUGAUGCUUUGGCAUUUACCUAUACUACAAGCCAGAAUGAGGAGCAUAUGAACAACAAUGAUGAAGGCAAGUGCUUAUGUGACCUGAUCACCUUUUAUGAAAUGUCUGUUACUACAUUAAUUAGCAUGUAUGAAUCUGUAGACAGUAAAUGUCAGUUACUGGCUUCCUUUAUUUCUAUCAUGAUGCUUCAUUGUAGACUUCAUUGCUUGUUGGUAUCUUACUAGUGAAUUCAGAGAUAAUAAGACAUGCUGAAUCUGUAGACAUAGUUCUAAUGCUAAUAUCUUCUUUUGCAUUCACUAGUAUUAGCAUGUAUCAGUCUUUGGUAAUAGUAUAAAAAUUCAGAUAUCCUAAUGAAAUCAGAUUGAUACUUAUUCAGUAAAUCUAGAAUAUAUUUGCUACUAACUCUACAAAUGAAAUCUUGUUAGGUGCAUUAUUUGCAAGUGCACAACAUGUGCCGCGGGGGAAAUAUAUGGGCAAAGAGCUAGAUGCAUUGAGUAGAUUGCUAGGGACAAAGAUUAAAAUUGACAUUGCUGAAGGGAAUAGAAGGCCAAAUGCACCAAUGCAAGCUGCAAAACUUGCAUCAGUGGCUGGGAUCUCACUUAGGAUACAUACACCUAUCUUCCCACACUAGAAGAAGUACAAGAAGGAACAUAAUAAACAUCUUGUUGAAGCCUACAUUGGCAAAGUUGCUGUAAGUCAAUAUCUAUUUGACUUGUUCAAUCAUAGUUCAUUGUGUCCUUUUUUGUUUUCAAAUCUAAUCUCUAUUUUCCUACUAGACCCCAUUCGACAUGGACACUAAAAGUGAGGCUGUACAAGCUGCUUGUGUUGACAUGCUAAAGGGUGGACAACGCCAGAUGAGGCAUAGGUUGAAAAAGAAGUAUUUUGAUGGAGUUGCUGCAAAUCUUGUGAGGACAACGUCACCUGUGAAGUGUAUGACUGAUGAUCAAUGGAGAGCUUUAGUGGAGAUGUGGUCCAACCCAAAACACAAGGUAUGACAUUAGUGAUGUUGCUGAUAAAUGUGUACAUAACUAGACAAUUCAGAUUUAAGUGGCAUUUGUAGUCCUUUUUAGUACUUAUUUUUAUGUCCUUUACCUUACAAAUUUGUGUGAUGUGCAGCACACUUGUGUCAAAAACCAAGUUAAUCGUGCGAAAGUCCAGUUCCAUCAGCGUACAGGUUCUUGACGUUACAUUGCACAUGCCUAUGUCACGGUAGGACAAAUUUAAUGCUAUGUGAUCUUGUUGCUGAUCUUCUAAUUUCCAUGAGCUAUAGAUAGUUGUUAUUGUCUCAUGGUUCAUGUUCUAAAAUCUUGCAUAUACCUUGUACAUGCUUGAAUAUAUGUUUAUUUUCAUGUGCUUCUAAUUUACAUGCAAAAAUAUGCCUCCAAUUGAAUUUCUGUCCUUGUUAUACUUAUUGAAAAAUACUUGAAUGAGCAAAACUUGUUCAAUGAACUUGUAUUUCUAACUCUCUGUUUGCAUGAGUGCAUUGCUGGUAGCACUUUGGCCACAUUUUGUUUCAUUAAAGUUUGCUGCACAUUAUUUGAAAUGAGAAGCCAUGGAAUUGGUUCAAGCUAACAUUGUAGUUGUUUUCUCAUUAUUUUAGAAACAAGAAAAAUAUAAAGACAUAGAACCCACUGCAAUUGAUUUGUUCAAGGAGAUGCAUUGCAGCAAGAAGAGUGGAUUUUGUGUGCCUGUCAAAAAUGCAAUUGUAAGUACUUUUCUCCUCUUCUCCAAGACAUUCUUGAAAGUCAACUUGAAUAUUUGGCCGGAUUGGCUGCACAUCUUGUGCUGCAGUUAUUGUUGCAUGCUACUUAUAAUCUGAACCACUGAAAUCCGAUGCAUAGAAUCUGAUCCAUGCACGCACCAAUAGCUGCAACUACUAUUGCCUUUACUUCAUGAUUGGAAAUGAUUUUGGGCUAUUUUUGCUAUUGUCAGAAUUGAUGUUGGAAGGGUUAUGAUGUACUUUUUGCUUGACUACUUUAUUACAUUAUUCAUUUCCCAAUUUAGGUGUAUGUAGUCUUCUAAAUUCACAUGUGUAUAUCCCCAUGCUUGAAAUGAUGUUUCAGUCUAUUUUGGCUAAAGUAAGAUCAUAUUUUAGGUCUUUGUAAAGUAUUAUUGUAGGCAGUUUUUCCUAUAUUGCUAUAAAUCUAUACCAAAGUCAAUACUAAUUUUGUAUCAUUCUAUUGCUAGGCUGCUAUGGAAGCAAUUGAGGCUGCACCAAUGCAAGAAGGCCAGCAGUCACUAUCUUCUACUGAAAUUGUUUCCAAGGUGCUGCCAAAAUCAAGCACAUUUCUCCAAAAUGUGGGUCUACCAACCUUGAAGCCAAGUAGUAGAAGUGCAGUUAGUUCACAGGUGUGGGAGCUACAGGCUCAACUUGAGGCUAAGGAGCAAGAAUUUGUGCAACUUAAGCAAGAAUCCGCACAACUUAAGCAAGAGGUGGCUAGCCAAGCACAUGAAAUUGACAGUUUGAAGAAGGGACAGCAAGAAACUCAUGCCCUCCUUCGACAGCUGAUUAACUUCAAUCAGGGUCAAGUCACUCCUCCCUAAAAUUUGUGAGCAUCAUCAUCAAGAUAUGCAUCAAGGCGAGUUAGUUCAAUUAUGCCUUUUGUAUCUAUCCCUAGAAUUUGGGCAUAUGAGAGUCUUUGGUGAACUCUGUAGCAUUUUGGUCUACUUGUGGGUGCUGCAAUACAAACUAUGAACUUAGUAUUGCUUUAGCUUGCAAACUAUUUCAAGUUGUUAUGUAUGACUUAGAUGGAUGUAUGAGUGAGUUGGAUGUAUGGUUGAGAUUGUUGCUUCUAAGAUGUUGAAUGGAUGAAUAUGAAAUUUGUUAUGGAUCAAUGUAUGUCUGUCAUUUGUUGAAUUCAAUUAUAUGGUUAAUAUUGUUACUAUAUAGGCACACAUGGUAGUUGUCUAUUUGAGAUUUCAUGACAGUUUUAAUGACAAAUAAUGAUCGUCAUUAUUGCUGGUGACGAAAAUAUUGUUGUCACUAACUCAGUGACGAUAUACUCUCAAUCGUCAUGGAAGGGGCUUUAACACGCACCUUCGGUGACGAUAGGUAUUUCGUCACUGCAUCGUCACAGAGCAUAUUAUGGUGACGUAAAUUCCUCUGUUUAUGACCAAAAUGAGCUGUCACAGAAGGCCACAUCUCUUGUAGUGGACAUUGAUUGAACGGUUAUUCUUGAUCCUUUAGCUCGGUGGAGCAUAAUCCCCGAAGAGAGUCCUGAUUGGACUCUAUAGCUGGGCGGGCGCCCAAGGGGGGAGGGCGGGCGCCCUGCCCCCGAGCCCGCUCUAUCACAGAACUGACCAAAUUAUAAGAGUUCAAGUGUAGAAAUGAUCGACAAGCAAUCAAGUUUCCAAACUUGAGCCCAUAUAAUCCCGGUAGUCAACUGAAAUCACGAAGGACUUCAAACCAACUUGCAACAAACCAAGAUCGUAAUAGUUCAACACAACACAGCGAUUGUUACAUAGUCAUUCAUUGCCGUUGAAGCGGCAUAACAUCGGAGUUACUUAGUUAUUACAACACAUGUUUGAAGUAGCAGAAGCAAAAUAAUUACACACACUUUCCAAAGUUCAUUUCACAAGUUCUGGUUCAGCCAGGGUCUCAUGCCAUCCAUCCAAAAGCAACAGAUACGAAGUAGUUAGAGAACCGUGCCCAACGGUUUAGUCCUCAUCCCCGGCGGGAUGGAGACAGGUCUUGCAAAAGCCAUCAUAAAAGAUAUCAUCUACAACAGGUGGGAAUAAACCCUGAGUACGAGGAUGUACUCAGCUAGACUUACCCGUCUAGUAAAACAUAAAAGACACCAAGGUUCAUGCAAGAAUAAGUAUAAAGUGUGGCUAGCUUGACUCAACAUUUGCCGAAAUGCUUAAGUUGAGACUACACCAUUGUAGAAGCAUCAUAAUACUUGUCAUUAGCCUACCACUAGAUUAGCACCUGUACUAAAACACGUCACUUGAUUAUUACAAUCAAUAAUAACCAUAUCAAGUUCAUCAUGUACUCUUUCUUGCUAUCAUCAUUAUCAUGAACCAAAGUUCUUUAGUGCAUGCUACGUUUGCCACUGCUCUGUUAAGUUCUCACUAUUCGGGAGAGACGGCGAUUCGAAUCGAUUCCUAUCCAGCUGGAGGGUUAUAUGUAGCACUCACCCAAGCAUCCCCCGUCGGAGAGCUAGCAGGUCACCUUUGGUACGACUCAGGAAUCACGGCUCCGAUCAGUGCCGCACUCCCAGGGCUACCACUCUGCCAGGGAGGUCAGGAAUUUUAACUCACCUACCUUUGGUCUUAUGCCAAUGGUCCCGCGCACACCGCACUUCUUCCGGUAGUGCGCACUUUAUACUUGCCGGUCUUCCGGGCUGAGUCAUACUACUAGGCUUCGCGGUCGGAACGAGUUAUCCGGCCAACUAAGUGUUAGGCAUGCGUUCAACAUGACAAGAGGACGUACAACGGUCGGUCCUUAGCUGCCACAGAUGGAGUUACUAUAACCUUGCAAAACUCCGCCCGGCUUAAGUUAAUUUAAUCAGGUUCCAUCCACGAUAGCACAUAUAGUCCAUCGUGAUCCGACAUAACCCUAUAUCGCGCAGGUGACAGGAUAUCACCCGACUUCUACCGCUUAAAGCAUGGCUAAGCUGCUACUCGAUCCUAACUCUAUAACCAGGUAGUGGUAAGAUAUCUGGAUAAGGAUUGAGUAAAAUGCAGCAAAGGUUUCAUCACAGUUCCUAUACUUAAAUGCAUCAAUAGAUAUAACAUAUUCAGGUAAACUUUCGAAAGUAAAGGGGAGACUUAGGAUGCUCCGGGGCUUGCCUUCCACGAACGAGGCUGGCUCAUGAUUCGGGCACUCAACUUCCUCUUCGGGCUCCUCGAGUCCGGCUUGCUGGACCUCCGUCUCCGGGUUGCCCUCCUGGCCUUCGGGGUUCACUUGAAGCUCGAAAGAGGCUGUCACGUCCGAUGCACCUAUUGCAUGCUCGAUGAAUAAGAAGGUGUGCAUACUAAAGGAUGAAUGCUUGAUAACAUCAUUAGACUCACUGGACACUCAUUUACGGAGCAACUGUUAUAACAAGUUCACACAAGAUGAUAAGUUAACUUAGCCAAAACCUACCAAGUUAAACUAUAAACAGCAAGCAUCACAUAACAGAACAGCUCAGUAAACAGGUCAUAACUAUUGCUAAACAGAUCCAACAAACAUAAGUGAGGACAUUCUGGAAAGCUUAUGAAAUUGUCUACAAUUCAUGUUUAAACAUCACAGCAAGAUUCAUAGGUUAAACAAGUCAUUUAAACAAAUUUCCAGGUUCUGUCCCAGAAAACAGAGAACACCUAUUUCUGGAACUCAACUUGGAAGGGCUAUAACUUUUAAACUAUUGGGCCAAAUGAUCUCAAAUUUAAACCACAGCUAGUUCAUAAAGUUUACAACAACUUUGAUUUAGACAAGUCUUUCAGAAAACCAAGGUAUCAUUAAGCAAAAGUUAGACUACUUCCUUGCUGUCCAGAACAGCUUUUUAACCCUUAAUUAAUUAUUUAAUGACAUAGCCAAAAUAUAAUCAGUGUCAACCACAUGGCUUAUAAGCACAAACAUACUAUAGGAUUACCAGAACAACAUAUGUUAACUCCAAAACACUUAAUAAUAAGACAUUUAUUAAUUUAAUUCUAUAAACGAGCAUAAUUACAAGAUACUAGCAAAAUGCUCAGAAAAAUCUACAAAAAUUACAGGAGCACAAGCAUAGCAUAUACAUAUUACCAUAAAAUUUUCAGAGCAAUUGCACAUACCAAAUUCAGGAUAAGCACUUAACAUGUGGCAAGGUGUUUAUCUUCCUAAAUUCAGAAACAUAGCUUAUAUAGUGUCAAACAACAGAUUUCAGAUUAUUUACAUACUACUAUGACCAUAAAGAAGUGUGACACCAAAGUAGAACACCAGCAUAAGCAUCAAUUAAUUAUUAUGAUUUAAUUAAGAAAACAAGCCAUAUCUCAAACAUAAAUUACAUAUCACAGAUGCAGUACUCCAAAAUCAUGAAAUAUUUAUCAUAGCAUUCUAACACCACACAGAGACUACAAUAAAAAUUUCAUGGCAAAAGGAGCAGUAUAACAAAAGAUAUGAAUUUACUCAUAAGUAACAAGAUUAAAUCCUAAUAAUUAUUUUUCCCAGAAAACAUGGUUCAUUUUAUAUUUUUACAAAACAAUAGCCAUCUCAAAGAAUUUCACAAAAUUGGUCUCACAAAUUUUGGAUCUCAGAAACAAGAGAUAUGAUUUUUGCAAGAAAGCCAAAAACCUGGAUUUGAAUAAAAGAAAAGGAGGGAGACGAUGUGUCACUGACAGUGGGUCCUGCAUGUCAGGGUCAUCUUCCCCACAGCCGAGGCGACUCUCGCCGGCGAUUUCUCCAUGACGGCGAGGUCUCCGGCCAAACCAAGGGCACCAACGUGAUCCCCAGACCUUUGCGAACUGAUUGACCCCCUUUUCCCCGCGGCGGAGCCACCGGAAAUGGCUCGCCGUCGAUCAUGGCGGCUUGGCGGAGGUGCUCGGCGUUACGCCGGAGCGCUCAGGCCGGUAGAGCGCUACCUAGGGUUUCCUACAGCACCAGCAGACUAUGGUGAGGCUUCCUAGGUAGGUGACUUGGCUUGAAACGGCGUGGAAUGAGCUGGCCACGAGAGAGCCCAACUCCGGCGGAAACAUGGCGGCGCUGCGUGUCGUGUCCGGCGACGGUGAGCGCGGUAGAGCAUCCACCAGGUGGCGCAAACGCUUGCUAAGGACCUAAGCUACCUCUAGGACCUAACCAGAGAAGAUGAGAGGCUCUGAGGAGCUCGGCAUUGAGUUCGCCAGAGAAGAAGGUCACGGCGACCUGAUUUGGGGGGAAAAGGAAAUGUCGGCUCACCGGAGGAUUUCACGGUGAGUUAGCGGGUGGAUGGUGAAGAGCGGUUCACGGCGGAGCUGUGAGCGAGUUUUGGUGAGCAGUGGCGCAGUGACGAGCGCGAUUGAGCUCGCUGCUCGCCGGAGUGAGCUCGCGACGAUGAGCUCACUGCGUCCGCGUUUCUGGCGAGAGGGUGAGUGGAAGGAGAGAGUAGACGCGUCCACUGCGUCCGGGGCAUCGCCGUGGAGGUCAUGCGCGUGCUGGGAGCUGACGAGCGGGGCCAAGAGCGACGUACGGGCGCGGUCGGCCACGUCGACGAGCUCGGCCUCGAUUCAGUUAAGGUGAUGACUGUCUGACAGAGCGACUUUGACGGUGAUUAACUCCCAAACCAGAGCGAGUUAGGAGAUGGUGUAGUUGACAAAGUUCAAGUACUAACUGAGUUCUACAACAUUGUCAACUAGAGCAAGAGCUAGAUCGGUCUGGAUUGAGAGAUAUAAAGUUUUCAAAAUUGAUCAAGCAAACUGCUGCGUCUCCAGACUUAGAAAAUAUUUCUAAGUGUUGGAAACAGCCCCAAAUCUGCCUUGUGGGUCACUUUUGAGCUAGAUGUGAUCAUUUUCAUGAGAUGGCCAUAAAACAACUUUUAGUCCUUAUAAAAUUUUCUAUAACUUUGCUGUAGAAAGUUUUGACAUGCAAACGUUUUAUGAAACACUUUUUAAAGCAUAAGCACAAGAGGUUUCUAGGGCCUAUACAUGUAAAUAUGACUUAAGUGAUUAUUUUGGAGAAGUGAUCAACAUGAACAUUGUUUCUAAGAUUGAGUUAAGCAUAGAUAAGCUAAUUACCAAGGCUUAACACACAAGCAUGAGGAUGGUUCACACAAACAUAAGCAUAGGAAGCAUGAUAAAACAAGUUAAGGCACACUUAAGCAUAAAAUGACAUGGCUCGAGGUAGAUGAUGAUCAUGAUAUGCUUGAGUAGAUGAUGAUGCUCAUGUUAUGCAUGUGAUUUAUGCAACCAUAACAUUGGGGUGUUACAGCCCUACCCCCUUACAAAAAUCUCGUCCCGAGAUUUGAAAGCUUACUGAUUUUCGAAGAAUGUUUUGUAAACUUCUUUUAAAUAAUCCUCCGUUUCCCAAGUGGCAUCUUCCUCCCCGUGGUUACUCCACAAUACCUUGUAGAACUUAAGCACGCGAUUAUGAGUCACCCUUUCCUUGUGGUCAAGAACCGCUAUAGGUUUUUCUUCAUACACCAAGUCAGAUUCCAACUUGAUAUCCCGAACUCCCACUCGUUCUUCCGGAACACGAAGGCACUUCUUCAAUUGUGAUACGUGGAAUACAGGAAAAAUAGCUCGAAGCUCAACUGGUAGUUGAACUUUGUAUGCCACAUUCCCUUUCCUUUCAAGAAUCUGAUAGGGUCCCACAUAACGAGGUGCAAGCUUUCGCUUGACUCCGAACCUUUGUACUCCCUUCGUCAGAGACACCUUGAUAUACACAUGGUCGCCGACUGCAAACUCAAUCGGUUUCCUUCUCUUAUCAGCAUAACUUUUCUGACAAGCUUGAGCAGCUUCCAGAUGUUGCUGGAUGGUACAGAUUUGCUGCUCUGCUUCGUUCAUGAAAUCAAUGCCAUGAUACCUUCGUUCCUCGGAUUCCACCUAGUUCAACAGGGUUCGACACUUUCGACCAUACAGGGCUUCGAACGGAGCCAUCUUGAUACUCUCCUGAUAACUGUUGUUGUAAGAGAACUCAGCUAACGGCAACCACUUAACCCAAGAACCCUUUGAGGAGAGAGCACAUGCCCUCAACAUGUCUUCUAGGAGUUGGUUGACCCGUUCAGUUUGGCUGGCCGUUUGGGGAUGAUAAGCAGAACUACGGACCAAGUGUGUGCCAAUCUGCUCAUGAAGACACUCCCAAAAACAGGCAGUGAACUAUGGUCCAUGAUCUGAUAUGAUAGUUCGAGGCACACCAUACUGACGAACAAUGUGCUCGAAGUACAACUCCGCAUAUUGAUGUGGACGAUAAUCAGUUCGGACUGGAAUAAAACGAGCAACCUUGGUUAAACGGUCUACAAUCACCCAGAUAGAGUCGUAACCCUUGACAGAAGUUAGAAGUCCAACAAUGAAAUCCAUGCUGACUUCUUCCCAUUUCCAACCAGGAAUUGAUAAGGGUUGAAGUAAGCCUGCUUUCAUGUGAACGGCCUUCACCCGACAACAAUUGUCACAACGAGCGACAAAAGCAGCAAUCUCCUUUUUCAUCUUUGUCCACCAAAACAGAGGUUUCAAAUCCUGAUACAUCUUGCUACUACCAGGAUGGAUAGACAAUUUGGAUGAAAUAGCUUUAGAUAAGAUCUAAUUUCGUAGCUUGUUGACGGUCCUUAAUGCUCACAUUUAACCAUCAACUAAUCAUGGAAAAGGAUCCAAAUGCAACCAACACCUAGACUUAGGGUUUUAUCUGACAGAAUUCCACGAGUUUUGGUGUUGGUCUAUUUCUACAGGGGGUUAUCAGGAAAUAAGGAAGAAAGGCCCACACGUCGGGUUUACAUAGAGAUAUUAACGUGCCGCGCAAUUUUCUACCAUCUAGAAGACUCCAGAAGCCACGGGAACGAACGGGAGGCCGAUCGGGCCCGGGGGCAGGGCGCCCGCCCAAGUCCCUUGGGUGCCCGCCCAGCUACAGUAACCAAUCAGCUUCAACUUCGCUGAUCGUGCUCCACCGACCUAAGGGACCAAGGAAAAUCGUGCGAUUAAUGUCGGUUUGAUCCGACGGCCCAGAUUCAUCUAAAAAGACUAUAUAAGCAAGGCCCCCUGGCCCCUGGAGAGUAUACCUCUUCUACAGAAUCAAAGCUAGGGUUUCAAUUCUUCAUCCAAGUAGAGAGGAUCCUGCUAGUUCUUCUAGUUCUACCUCUAGUUCAUCUAGAUCUAGUUCUAGUUCAUCUAGUUCUAGUUCUAGUUCCUCUAGUUCUAGUUCUAGUUAGUUCUAGUUGUAAUCUAGAAAAUAGGGAGAGAGAAGAGGAGAGCGGACGAGGAGCCGGAUCUGUCGGAUCUUCCUCAACAUUAUACUUUUGCAGCAUCUGGUUCGUUCUUCAUCGUUCUCCAGGUUCUUCAAUUCAUAAUUCCUGAGUUCUUUAAUUACUUUUAUUUACAUUCAAGUUAUUUAUUGGAUUCCCGCUUGCAUCAAGUGCUCUAGUCUUUAUAACGCUAGAGUAGUAAUUAAUAGAUUAGACGUGGUGUUUAGUUUUGCAAUUACCUGGAAUUGCACCCAAUCCUGCGGAUUGUUGUGGUAGCCUUAGGGUAGUGACAGCCCUAACGGUCGACGUAUUCCACCUCGUUCAGAUCGGUGUUUGUAGGACCGUAGUCAGACCUUCCUAGCCCCCUUCUCAUCUCUUUCUGUGGUUAGUGCUCUGAUGUCCCGAUAUAGAUAAUCUUGAAGUAAUUCUUGAUUCUUAGAUCAACUAGAGAACUCUCAGGAAACUUCCUCUCUUCCCACCAAAAAUAAUUAUAUAGUUAUCCUUGGGCGAUCUUGAUUCUUAAUUAGUACACUCACGUUCUCUGUGGAAAAUCGAUACUCUGGAAUACUCCCGGGUGAAAGCUACAUCGGUAUCCGUGCGAUUGCGGAUUUUUUUCUGUUUGCGUUUAAAAUACCCAACAAGCUUUCUGGCGCCGUUGCCGGGGAACGGUAGCUGUGCUAGUUUCGAACCAAGUCGUCCGUGUAUCCUUUUUCUUUUCCUUUUUUACCACACUCACCUUAUCACUUUCACCAUACCACAUGGAUUUCACUCUAAGCAUUAAUGAGCAUGGAAUUUAUUUCAUAGCCUCUUCACUUACUCCAUGCUCAUAUGCAACAUCUUCACAAUCCAUUGGUCUCUCCAACAUCACCACAUUCGAGAUCUCCAACCCCCUAUUCCUUUCUAUUCAUAAAAACUUUAAAAGGGCGGUUGUCGAUGCAUAUGUCUAUAAUAAAUUUUGCAGAUCUCGUUGAGUUGAUCUUGAUAUAGGUCAGCGUUGGAGGGGAAACCACUUCACUAACAUAAAUUGAUGGUUUCCCAAGGACAAGCUUAGUGUCCUAAAACAAGCACUGAUCAGAUUGUAACAUGAGCUUUUAAUUAUUGGCAACAUUACCUUGUGUGUUGAGCAUAUAAGGAUAAUUGUAAAAAUAUUCCUUCGGGUAUUCUUGUCACUAACCUUUCUAGGAUUGGAGCAAGAAGAUCGGAUGAAUGACAAGCACAAGGUAUGUCCAACCAAUCAUCAUACAACAUGAAUUAAAUUCAUCCAAACUUGAAUUUUGCAAAAUUCAAGCUUGGGGGAGUACUUUACAUAAAAACAUCCUUUGCCAUGUUGCUAUGUUGGUUGUCCCUACCUUUGAGACUUGCUCAAUUCAUUAAAUAUUAAUCACACUACUUCAUCUCCACUUGAGUAGAUCUUUAUAAAUGCUCUCAUGCUACCUUUAUUUGCUUUAGUAUAUGUCUAGGUUUGGAGUAGUUUCAUUUAUCUCUUAUUUAAGCAUGGUGCUUAGUUUAGGGCUGAUGAUCUUACUUCCAGAGGAUUUUAAAUUAAGCAUGAUGCUUAGGUUAAAAUUCCCUCCUAAAUCAAAUUAGACAUGGUGUCUAGGUUGAUCUUUGAGCCGAUAGUAUGCUAUAGUAGAUAUUGGAUAUUUUGUUGGACUAACCCCUGCAGGAAAACUUUCACUAUCAACCUGGGAAGUCCUGAGAUACACUCACAUUGGAGACAAAGAGAGAGACACAUGAAGUUUAACAAUUUACACGAGGAAGGCAUAGCUCACAAGAGAUGAUCCAUGGAGGGUGCCACAAACACAAUGCACAACUACUAAGAGAGGAAAUCUUCCACAAGGUGAUACUGUACCAUCACUCUUCAAGUAAGGCAACAUCUUAAGGUACUUGGCUAUCACUUCUAUAAGCUUCUCCUUGGUUCUGGCAUUCACAUGAAUAAACGAGACAAACAUGUAUGAUUUACAACUCUAGAUUAACCAACCCAAUCGAUUCAACAUGUUUAGUCCUUCCACAUUUGUGAUCCCACACUCCUAAUCUUAUGAGCUAAAUCUUUGGAAGAUAUAUAUAUAAAAAAACAACAUAAAUAUAGAUAGAUUAUCUUUCCAUUAGGUUGAGCAAUUUGAUCUGACAAAUGUUUUAAAUGUUAUACUCAUGAUUUUAUUAUCCAUCAACUUUGUCUUGCUCACUAUGCUUAAGGAUAGAGAAGAAUAAAUACACUUUUGGUUCUGUUGGUGUUUUCCUCCAACAGGGCCCAUGCACUUGAUCUCUGCCUUGUCUCUAUGAGCAGGUACACUUCAAGCAAACUAUGAAGGACUUUUACAACUCCCAGACUCUACCAAGUGAAGAACCUAGAUCUACGAGCACAAACACACUGGAGAUACUGGACACUCAGGCAAUCACUGCCCUGAGAUGCUUGAGGACGUAACUACUGGAGUAACCCCAUUGUGGAAGUAACUACUGACGUUCUGCCGGUCAAGAGAGACAACCCAGGAUGCCCCAUCAUCUCGAUCUCCAUGGGCAUGGUAGACUUCCCAGAAGCACUCUGUGACUUUGGCUCCAGCGUCAACAUUAUGCCCAGGGUACUCUAUGAAAAAUUCUUUACACAUCCUUUAUUAGAAACAACCAUGUGUUUGCAGCUUGCAGAUCGGACACUAAGUUUCCCAAAGGGAAUAUUGAAGAACCUCUGCGUCCGAGUUGGUACCUUGUACGCCCCAGCAGACUUCGUGGUGAUAGAGACUGGUACUAAUGAGAGGGCACCCAUCAUCCUAGGGAGGCCAUUCCUAAACACUUCGGGAGCUAUCAUCUACGCUAGUGCUGCCAAGAUCAGUUUCUACAUCAAGGGGAGGAAGGAGACGUUUUCCUUCAAGAACAAGACUAUACAAAUCUCAGAGCAUUCCCGACAUAAAACAAGGAAGAGGACCAACAGGAGGAACAGGAACAAGCAAAUGUGGACCAAGUCAGCAAAGAUGGUCACUGUAGUUCAAGGAGGUCAAGAUCGUCGACUUAAGUCACCGUUCCUAACCAAAAAGGACGACCCAAGUAUGCCAAGUAUCCAGUGCUCCAUUGAUGGAUACAACUUCCAGAAGAUACUUUGCGACACCGGGUCAGGCGUCAACAUAAUGGCCGCCAGUCACCUAUCAGCUCGUAUUCGGAACCAUGCCCCUAAAACCGACAUACAUUCAGCUUCAGAUGGCAGAUCACACAUUCUGAAAGGUUAUUAUCAUGGUAGAAGACGAAUUCGAUCCACUCGUCAUCAUUGGGAGACUGUUCCUCAGCACCGUUAAAGCAAUCUUCUACAUUGGAACCAGAGAAGUCCACAUGCACUUCCCCUCAGAGAAGGUACGCCACUGUUUUACUGACCCUAACUAUAUAGUUGAAGACUCUAAGCAGGUCAGGACAAGAAGAUGACGACGUAACCGCAACCAGAGAAGGCAAAUCAUCAAGGACGGAUGGGUAGACUAUGAUGGAGAAGUGGUAAUAUCUGAAGACAUACUGCUUGAACAGAACUGUCCUGAGGAGACCGUAGCACCGAGUCAGGUGUGUAGAGAGAAGACAGUUAUACAUGAAGAAGAAGCGCCGCCGGAACCACCGACUACGCCAUCCAGCAAAUCCUAGGACGACUAAGAAAAUGGAGAGUCCCGUUCGGAGGACUUAAAAACACCGAACGCCUUGCCAAGAGGUAAACUUGGUAAUUAUCCAUUCCCUUUCAAUUAUUUAAAAUAGUUUGCUUAGUUAAUCAGGUUCAUAUCAUCUUGAAAAGAAAAUAAAAAUAUUAAAAAAUAGUAAGCCCCAUGUGAGUAUGCUCAUGGCAUAAAACCCAUAAGUACAUUCACUGUGAUGGCAUAAAUAUGAAAUAAAUAUAUUCCUAUCCUAUAAAAAUAAAAUUAUAAAAAUAAAUUUAUGAUCCUACUAAAGAGAGUAACAUUUAUUGAGGAGGCUCAACAUGAUAAAGGCCAGAUAUUUAUGCUAACACUUAACUAGUUCCACAAAGCUUUGUUUUCUAUUUGAGCUCCAUAGAAUUCAAGGAUCAAAGAAGACUAGCAGAGGGAGGACAUCCUACUCGCUGUCAGGGCGCUGCUGACAUUCAAAUACACCUCCGCCACGUGCUAGCUACAUCAGAAGAAAUUACGUCAAAAUCCAGCUUGGGGGAGAGCACCCCCAUUUAUCCAGCUAAGUGUUUCUACUCACGUUUAUACUUUACUCAAAUAAUAAAAAGAUGCAUAAUUAUAAAAACCCAAAUAAAAAUUUUGUGCUUAUAUAUAUCUUUGCUUAGUUUGCUAAAUAAAUAAAUAAAUAAAGUUUUCUAUGAACCCUCAUGAUAAGCUCUCACAUGGAAAUAGUUGCUCUGCCAUGGCUAGUUCUCAAAAUUGAAAUCUCUCUCAAGUUUAGGCAUGACUGGUAUUAAUUAAGAUUUGCUCUAAACCUGAAAUUGUGGGGAGAGUACUUGAUCUGAAGUCUAAGUCGUUAACGGAUAUGAUAUGGGAAGGUUGAGCUGCUGUUUAUCUGUUCUUAGAGAUGCUAGAAUUCUGGAGAAUUUUAUCUUUGAAAAUCUUUAAAAUGUUGCAUGAUGAGUUCCUGUAUGAUGAGAGUUUAAUUUCCUACCAUAGCCAUAUAUACAUGCUUAUUAGACUAUGAACCAUACAUUUACUUUUUACUGCUUAUGAGCAUUGAGUGUGGUCAAGCUGUGUAGACCCUUAGGAGCUUGUCAUGUGGUUAAGUCAAGAUUCACUUGCACGUUCACUCACACAUGCUGCUUCUACUCUGGAAGUAUGCAACCACAUAUAUCCACCCAUUUCCAUCUCCAGAACUACCCAAAAAUAUUUUACUCCUAAUCCGGGAGAGAAUAGCCAAAAAGAUUUCUGUUUUUCCCUGUGAAAUAAAUGCUCAAGUUAUCUUGGUUACUACCACUUGCUAUAUUGUUUCAAGAGAUGAGUGCUCUAGAAAAAAAAGAAAGAAUACGAGGAAUUAAAAAGGGGCAAGUGCCCAGAACCUCGAAAGAAAAAAAAGUGAGACGAGAGGUAAAAAUGGACAAGUGUCCGAUAGUAGAAUUAGGGGUACAAGAUACCCACCUGAGAGAAAAGAAAAAAAAUAUAGAGCAUCUCAUUCUCCUCAAAAAGUUUCAAAAGAGCAAGAAAGGUAUGUAUCCCAUCAAAAGAGCACAAGUAGAAUUAGACUUUCACCAUUGUUAUCACCAUCAUCACCAUACACCAUUCAUUCGCCACACAUGCACAUCUUGAUUUGACUUAUUGACUUGUUCUUCUGGAUCCAUGGUUUGACUAUGCAAUAAAUGUCUUGUAAGUAUGUAUUAGCUAUCUCCCACCUAUGAGCCCCAGAUAUCAAAAACCUUAUUAGAGUAGGGUGAGAGAGAAGGCAUUGCUACUAUGCCUCAUACCAAAAAUACCACAUACUUUGAGAGAAGGCAUACACCAUUACUGCCUUGGUAAGGAUCCAGAAAUACCACAAAAGAGAGACUAGAGAGAGUCAUACAAGGAAUCUCUGUGUUUUAUUUGAAAAUAUGAAAAAAACUCCAGAGCUAUAGUUAAUCGAAGAACAAGAGACAUGGCGCUUGACUAGACCGUUCUAUCUUUUAAAUGCUCAAGACACAAGUGACGGUUACAAGCCCCAUGGUGGAAGGUAAUAUGACUAAGUUUAAAUCUUAACAGUUUACCCUAACCCAGAGAUGAGAUCUUGUUUGAACGCAUGUAUAUCUUUAAGGCAUGAAACCACUGCAGAAACUCUUGAGAUCAUCUUUGCUCAGGGACGAGCAAAGGUUAAGCUUGGGGGAGCUUGUUGACGGUCCUUAAUGCUCACAUUUAACCAUCAACUAAUCAUGGAAAAGGAUCCAAAUGCAACCAACACCUAGACUUAGGGUUUUAUCUGACAGAAUUCCACGAGUUUUGGUGUUGGUCUAUUUCUACAGGGGGUUAUCAGGAAAUAAGGAAGAAAGGCCCACACGUCGGGUUUACAUAGAGAUAUUAACGUGCCGCGCAAUUUUCUACCAUCUAGAAGACUCCAGAAGCCACGGGAACGAACGGGAGGCCGAUCGGGCCUGGGGGCAGGGUGCCCGCCCAAGUCCCUUGGGUGCCCGCCCAGCUACAGUAACCAAUCAGCUUAAACUUCGCUGAUCGUGCUCCACCGACCUAAGGGACCAAGGAAAAUCAUGCGAUUAAUGUCGGUUUGAUCCGACGGCCCAGAUUCAUCUAAAAAGACUAUAUAAGCAUGGCCCCCUGGCCCCUGGAGAGUAUACCUCUUCUACAGAAUCAAAGCUAGGGUUUCAAUUCUUCAUCCAAGUAGAGAGGAUCCCUCUAGUUCUUCUAGUUCUACCUCUAGUUCAUCUAGAUCUAGUUCUAGUUCAUCUAGUUCUAGUUCUAGUUCCUCUAGUUCUAGUUCUAGUUAGUUCUAGUUGUAAUCUAGAAAAUAGGGAGAGAGAAGAGGAGAGCGGAGGAGGAGCCGGAUCUGUCGGAUCUUCCUCAACAUUAUACUUUUGC